GCUCUGCUCGGAGUGAACGUGAUGUUCAAGCUCUGUUCGGAUGCUAUGUUGAGACAGAACUCCCUGGAUACUGUCUCCGACCAGGAAGCGUCGGCGGUGACGGAGGCGUUGAAGUCGCGGAGAAGGGUAAAGCCGCCGGCUUCGACUGAGAAGAGGGAUUUAGAUCGGUCGAACUCGGCGGCGUAGGAGGUGGGGUAGAAGUACAAGCGGAUGAACUUUUGGCCGCUGGUGAGUGGAAAUGUGUACGUAAAUUCGGAGCGAGAGAGCCGAGCUGCGGUGUAAGGCACUUGGCUGGAAGAGGAGAUCGGGGUUGCUGCUUUGAAUAUGGAUGAGCUGCCAGCUGCUUGGGAGGGGGAGAAUUUUGAGUUGAUAUCGCCACUCCAAGUUCGUCCGUCCUGUUGGUUGACUUGGUCGCCGGAAAGGCCGCACUGUAGGGUGAUGUCAUCGACCGGUUUGUAGACAGAAGGUGAGUCUCCGGCCACGUGUAGGGUUAUGAUUUGCAGAAACAGGGUAAGGAACAGAUGAGCAAGAUUGGGUUUCAUGGUAAGGUGUUUGCUGCAUAUGGAAACGGGGGAAUCUGUUGCUGCUUAUUAUCGUAAGCUUAUCAAAAUUCCAUUUAUAAUUAAACUUCUAACUGGAUUUUGGAUACUUUAACGGUGAAGUGUUCAGUUGUAAUUUGAAAACUGGGUGCUUGAAAAUUCAGAGGUUUUUUGGAUACUUUGAUGCGGUCCCUAAUUCUUGACAUUCUUUGAUUAAAAUCUUAAUAGUAUUCAAAGUUUGAUUAAAGUCCCACCUCAUUAUAUUACUAUUAAUAUUUAUAUUUUUAUAGUUUUGACAUUAAUUGUUUGAUAUUUUAUAAGAUUUAUAAUCCUAUAAAUUUAAAAUCCCUCAUUAUAAUACUAUUAGAAACGGUUACAAUAAAAAAAAUUCAAACAUUUUAAUUUAAUAAAUGGAUAAAAACUAUGUAAAAAUAAGAAAUAAUAAAUGGAAAAAGAAUGUAUCCAUAGUGUUAAAAAAUUUGGUACAUUUUACAAAAAAAUAGGUACAUUUCACAUAUAACAAAAAGAAGAAUGAGUGCAUUAUAAAUAAAUUAGGGUACAUAUAAAAUAUUAAAAAAUUAUGAGUACAAAUGAAUUUUUUGAAAAUAUAGGUGCUAAAAGAAAUUAAUACAUGGGUACAAAAUAAAACUAAAAGAAAAUACAACAAAUUUUAAAAAAAUGUUGCAAAUUAAAAGUGGGUACAAACUAAAAAUAUAAAUAUAUGAUACAAAGUUUAGGCAUAAAACAUAAAUAUACCAUAUGUAAUUUUUCUAUCAUUGAUUAAAUAUACAAUGUCACGUGACGGUAUACACAUGGAUACAAACACAAAUAAAACUUUAAAAAAUUGGGCACAAAAAGAAACUAAUAUAUGGGUACAAAUUAAAAAUGAAAAGAAAAUUGGUACAAAUUAAAAAAUAUUUGCAAUUAAAAAUAGGUACAAACUAAAAAUAAAAAUAUAUGAUAAAAAAUUUAGUCAUAAAUAUAAAUAUACUAAUUGUAACAUUUUUAACACUAAAUGAAUAUAUUUAAAAAUAAUAAAAUUAUUAUUCAAAUAAUUAAUGAUGUUAUUAAUACCCAAGGACCUUGAUCAAAAAUUGAAAAUGAAUAUGAUUUUAAUCAAUGGAGCAAUCACAAUCACCACCGCCUAAAUUCCCCCAAAUCCCCAGAAACAAACACGAAGUUGAAGCAAACCCAAAUUCCAAUAGAUCAAAUUAUGGAAUUACAGUGCAUAAUGAUUCAAAAAUUACCUUAAUUUACACAAAAAGCUUCAAGAUCUAACAAGAAUUAGAUAUCCAAAGUAGGGAAAUUUAGGGAAAAACCCACCGAUUGUAGUUCAUCUUCUCGUAAAACCGAAUCAAGAAAAGCGAGAGCGACAGAUUCACCUCGUCCUUUCCCCACCGAAUCGAAUAGUCCCCCGAUGAUGCUCUCUUCAUCGAACGAUUACAACCCACCAGUCCGAAUCUUCCUAUCGAUCGCUUACAAUCGGAGGUUUUAAAGUAAUUUUGGGAAGAUUUGGUGGGUAAUCGGAAAAUCCAAAGCCCAAAUUGUAUGAGCUGUGGGGGUGUGUGGAGAGAAGGGGGUGGGUAAUGCGGAGGGAGGAAGAGGAGGGUGGGGGUGGAUAUAGAGGGUGGGGAGGGGUGUGUGGAGAGAAGGGGGUGGGUAACGCGGAGGGAGGAGAAUGAGGGUGGGGAGUGGGGGACCUGUUUUUGUGCGUUUUGGAAGACGAAUUUUUUGUGAAAUGAAUAAGCCUUUGGGUUUGUGUGUCUCGUUUGACGAAUAUUCCCACUUUUUUUUACUCUGCUUUUCUCAUCUUUUACCUGCCCAGUCUCUUUUUUAUUUAUCUGUCUGCUUCCUUAACUUUCCUACGUUAACAACAAAAAUUAAAAUUGUUUAUUAAUCCAAUACAUAUGGGCAAUUGUGUCCUAAUUCAUGUAUCUUACCAUGCAAUGUACAAAGUGUAAAAUAUUGUAGUAAUUCAUUAUAUAUAAAUGAUUAUGGUGUUUAAACUUCUUUCAUUAAUUACUACAUAUUUUCUACACUCACAAUGUUUGCCAGCUCACUAUAUAAUCAACUUAAAUCAGUUAAAUUCAUCAUGCAAUGCAUUUCCUUCCAAUUUUUUGUGAUAAACUAAUAGAUAAUUAACUAAAUAAACAUCCUGCAAAGUUUCAAUAAAAAUUUUCAAGUUUUUCUUACAAUUUCCGUGGUUUUCAUAUUAUUUUCAUCAAUAUCGAUAAUAUCCCGAUAUUUCCAUCGAUAUUUCUGUGUUUUUGGAUUACCGAUAUUUCCGAUAUCAUCGAUAUUUUAUACCUUGGGCAUGAGAGAAAAUUUAAUGGAGGAGACUCUCCCGCCACUUGACAAAGGAUUAAGCUUUAGAAAAACUAACGAAAAAGGCUUGAAAACUUUGAGUUUUAACGAUAAGAACAAAAUAAAAGGUAAAGUAAAUAGUACCAGAAUUGACUUUUUAGUGUAAAAAUAUGAUUUUUCGUUAAAGUAAACGAUAUCGUAAGUUUUUCGUUAAAGCUCCCUGAAUUUGUUAAUGGUACAUUAUGCUACAAUUACCCUGAAUUUGUUUCAUUUAAAUCUCUCUCUCAUGGAUCAAAGACUUUGAAUGCGGUCUAAAUUCUUAAAGAUUCUCAAUCAUCAACAGUAACGUUAAUAGACUAUGCACAAAGGGUAGUGGUAGUGGACUUGAAGAGUCAAAGUCUUUGUCACAAGUCUUUAUGCAUGGUGGGUCGUUUGCUUGCAUACUUUUCCAAACAAAUAGAUUAACUUGUUAUAUAUUCUUACGGAUAAUGCUUGGUAGAAAAGUCUCACCACUAGCUAGUUGCAAACAACUAGGGGUGGGCAAACGGGUCCUGGACCCGCAGGUCGGGGCGGGUCCAUGCGGUUCGGGGCGGGUACGGGGCGGGUCCAAAAAUUAUAAAUACUAAACGGGACGGGCCGGGCCGAUUCUUGAUAAAUAACGGGGCGGGCCGGUUUUAGAAGUUGGAGAAAACGGGCCCCCGGCCCGGACCGUUUAUUACUCUACCAUCUAUCACGUUAUCACCCUCUCUCUUAUUCUCAGACCCAAUUCACAACUCUCCCCUCAUCCUCUCUCUAUCCCUACUUCGAGUCUCCGAAACCACUCCGAGUCUCCUCCUUCGAUCUCUCCUCCUUCUGGGUUUCUGAUUUUGCUUUCGGAUCUAUCGAUUCUCAUCCCUCUUGAUCUCUCUCUCUCCCCGAACCUUCUUCUUCUUCUUCUUCUUCUUCUUCAAGUUUUUAAUCCCAACUGGGUUCUCCACAAAUCAUGCAAAGGCAACCAAAUCGACCAUGGCUGGCGCUGCGAGGACUGGAACAACAACCGGCAAAAGCUCGCCGAUUACGACAUUGGCCCAAACUUCCUUCGCCGCUUCUGCCAAAAGCUCUCCCCCUGCCUCUCAUUCUUCACCAACCGCAUCGUCCCCCUCCUCUCCCGAGCCCUCCGGCGCACACUCCUCUGUACCGGGCUCGCCACCUAACCCAGUCUGCCAUUUUUGUUCAUCUGUAUAUACUUCGGCUCAAAAGAAAACAAAAUUGAAUGAAAGAAUUUGAAUUUAAAUUUGAAUUCGGAGUUCGAUGAAUCAAUCAAUUGAUUUCAGUUUCUGGGUUUUGUACAAUUUUUGUUCUUGUGUUUUGUGAUUACAAUCUAAUCUCUCUUAUUGGAUUGGCUUAGAACGCCUAAGUUGGAGCUUCUCAAUCAACUCGUCAACCUGCCCACCAUUCGUUUGAUGUCGGGGAUGAACCACCUUUAGGGAGGUAAAGGGGGCCUGGUCUACAUAUUCACUGACUCUGUUGAGCAUUCUCCCUAGUCAUAGGAUUUUGUGAAAUUGAAUUCUCCAUCUCCGAAGCAAUUGAUUCUGUUGCAGCUGCUGACCUGAACUCCAUUGAUUCCAGAUUGUUGAUGAUCUGGUUAGUCAUCGAAUUCAAGUGCAACGCGAUAUCAAGAUUGAUUAGCAAUAUCUUUAGCUACAUCUUGUAUCUACAAGAGCAUUGAGUGGGAUUUAAGCAAGAGACGGAGGCGUGGCCUUGGCGGAGGGAGGCGGAGACGUCGAGGAAGGUUGCAGUUUCAGAAAAAAAAAAAAACAGGGUACCCGUUAGACCCGUAGGAACCGGCCUGUUUUAUACGGGCCGGGUUAGGUCCAGUUCUCAGUUUUGAAAUAGUAAAAUCCGGCCCGGCCUGCCCCGUUAUAUUUUUAAGUGGGUCCGGUCCGGUCCCUCCAAUUUUGGGCCCAGCCCGGCCCGUGCCCACCCCUACAAACAACCCGUCAAAUGGUAUCCAUCUAUGAGUUAGUAAACGUCAUUUUAACAAACAUGUCUCUUUUCAAAUGUGACUUUUGUGGUAAGGUGAUGAUAUUAUGCACACAGAUUUUUGUUAACAUAGAUGCAUUUGGGGAUUACACGUAUUAUUGAUUUUAAGUGCACAUAAACGACUAACAUAUAAAAGGUUUAUGUUGACUUAUCGCUAGAAAAGCCACACUAAAGGGUGAUGUCAUCGACCUGAGUGUAGACAGAGGGUAAGUUUGCGGCCACGUGUAGGGUUAUGAUUAAACCUUUACUCUGAGUUGUUAUGUUAGGAAAAUGAUCAUCGCCGGAUCUUUUUUCUAUGGAUCUUGGGGAUUCCGUAAUCGUGAUCGUUCAUUAUACAUCGUGCAAUCAGAAAUCAUUUCAAAAUUAAAAUUUUAAAAUUAAGUAUAAAUAAUACCUAACGAAAACUGAUCGCAUGAUGUACGAUGAACGGUCACGAUCACAGGAUUCCCACCGGAUCCUUUUCCGUUAUGUUAUUGUUUGCAUGCACAAAUAUUGAAAAUCUAGGGCAAAACAAAAGUAGUGGGACAUGAUUUCAUGGAGGAGUUCAUUGUUGAUUCAUCAGGAUGGAGAUAAUUUUUAGAGUGUUCGGGACUAUAUAACUGGUAUAUCUAGUGUUAUAACAUAAUUAGUUAAAUUUUUUUUUCAAGAGUCUAAUUAAUUGUAUUAUGACACUUGGUAUACUGGGUUAUGUUCUUGAUACUGAAAAAUCUAUUGGCACGAUGACUUCUCAAACCACUAACUAAUAUAAGAUCAUGCGUGAACUUUUUUCUGAUAUCACCUUGUAUUAGUGGUUCAGUAUGACACAAUUAUAUUGAAUUCGUUUCAUUGAAGUCUUUUUCGAAUGGGAUGAAUCAAAGACUUUAAAAGAAAGAUCAUCAUCUAGAAAGAUGCAGCGCACUCCUGACCAAACAAUACCCACCAGAGUUUUGAAUGUCAAAUAAUUGGUUGCACGUCUCUAUCAUCAAGAGUAAAGUUAAUCUAUAUUAUUAAGAGAAUAGAACUUGUCAACUUUUUGCCCCCUUUUGUUCCAAUUUUGCCCUCACUUUUGAAUACACAAUGUUGACAUGAGGAGGGCAAAAUAGUAAUUUUGUAUCUUUUGAACUUUUUCCCCUUUUUUCCUAUUUUGCCCUCACUUUUGAUACACAAUAUAUACAUAAAGAGGGCAAAAUAGUAAUUUUAUAUCGAAAUAUUUACAUAAGAUAAAAAAAAUAUGCACUUAUUAAGAGAAAUCAUGAUGUUUUUUGGAUAGUUUGAAUGAAUUAAAGCUGUUUGUACCAUACUGGACCAAUCCCGAAACUACUGAGCACUGGUCAACGUUAUACCGUCAAGGACCCAGAAGAGUUUCCCUCCAACCAGGAAGACAAUCACAGUGCGACACGUGUCGACAUCAGAAGCCAAUCAUAGCGCGACACGUGUCAACAUCAGAAGUCAAUCAUAACACGACACGUGUCAAUAUCAGAAUGAAACUAGAAACUCUCUUCUAUAAAUAGAGAUCAUUCUUUCACAAUAUGGCCUAAUGUCAUUUGUACUAAAUCAUUCACUUGUACUCACUAAAGGAGAGCUUGAACCUAUGUACUUGUGUAAACCCUUCACAAUUAAUGAGAACUCCUCUACUGCGUGGACGUAGCCAAUCUAGGUGAACCACGUACAUCUUGUGUUUGCUUCCCUAUCUCUAUCCAUUUACAUACUUAUUCAUACUAGUGACCGGAGCAAUCUAGAGAAUGUCACAAACUUAACACUUUCUGUUGUACCAAAGUCCUCACUGAUUUUGUGCAUCAACAUUUGGCGUCGUCUGUGGGAACGACAUUUAUUCUCACUCUCUUCAGCUUUGUUAAGCUGGUUUCCACCAUUCGUACACUCUCUUUUAACCAGGCAUCCUUCUCCAACAUGGGGAGUGAAGGAAGUCAUAUCACACAGAAUGACACCCAUCUUGCACUUAGUGCAAAGCAACGAAAGAAGGAAUGAAAGAGGGUUGCUCUUCAAGAUAAAGUCGAUGAGCUAAAAUCUCAAAACAACAAGAUAACAAUGAAGAAUGAGGUCAUUCAGGAGCAGUAUGAGAAGCUCUUUGAGAUGCUUCACGAAACUAGGCGUACUUAAACACGCGAACUCGUUACCCUUGUGGACAUCAACCAUCAUCUGGAUGCCUCACAACAAGGAGGGUCACAUUCCUUCGACAUGGGUAUCCCUGAUGAGAAGUGAGCUAAUCAUCAAAACAUUGAUCAACAUAAUACUUCUCUCAACCCAGCUGCUUCGACCCAAAGCAGGAGAAGUGGAGGAAGACACCUCCUUGCAUAAAGGUUGGAAGGAUCGAAAUCCAUUUAUUGUGACUGCCGAGACUUCCUAAAGCAACGUCGAGAGAAUCCCCUCCGCAUAAGCUCGAAGAUCAAUGACCCAAGGGUUUCUGAAAGACUCGGUCCCCUUCCACGUCCUAGGCCGGCUACUAAUUUGGGGAAGGGGCAACAAGUCCUAGAGAAACACGAAGGUAUAGGGGACUCAGAGAUGUUUCGACAGGCAUACCUUGAAAGUCAGUACGGCGAGUCCAGGGAAAAAUCACAUGCUCUUAAUCAAACAUUCCUACUUCCAAGAGGAGAUGGAGAUUUACGAAAGAAAGCUCUAGUGGUACAUGACUCCACUCAGGACCCUCUUAUCCUACAGCUUCUUAAGGAAGUAAACAAGUUGAAGGCCGAACGACAAGUUGAGAUACCUAAUUGGAAUCAACCUAGGCCUGGCUCUCUUACAAGGAGGAUCCUCAACAUCUCCUCCAAGCAAAGACAAAGCAAAAGCUUGGCCUGCAACUCUAUACUGGAAAGGAGGACCCGAUUGAACACAUUAACCUCUUUGAGUCCACCAUGGCAUACUGGAUGCACACCGACGAAGAGCGAUGACUCUUCCCCUCCACCCUCUCUUGCGGAGCUCUAAACUGGUAUUGCCGUCUUCCACCUGAGACGGUAGACUCAUUUGAGGAAUUGAGGAAACUGUUUGUUUCUCAACACAUUUUCCAGACCGAUCCCUUGCAUUCUGCAGAUGACUUGUACACUAUUCUCCAGAAGCCAGACGAGUCACUACGAGAGUAUGUCGGUCGCUUCAGCCAUGAGUAUUCUCGCUGUGCUAAGGCAGAUGACAAGACUGCCUUCAAGGCAUUCACGGCAAGCCUACGUGAUUGUUUCUUCAAGUACAUGAUCAAUGCCAACACUUGGAAGACUUACUCUAAGGUGAUGGCACAUGCUUACAACCAUGCCUUCGCCGAGGCAAGAACAUAUCAAGGGAAACCCCCCAUAGCCAUCCCUUAUCAGCAAGUAGGGAGUGGAAGCCAGAUCCAACCAAAUGAAAAGACCUCGACCUUCCAAACGGUAGCGGUGCAUCCCCCUGCCUUACUUAAUACUUUGCCAAAUUAACAAACAUAUCAAUCUCAGGGCAAAAGGAAAGAUUUCCAUCCUCACCAGUCUCAUUUUAGUAAAAGGAGUAAGGGACACUACCGCGAUAACCAAGGGUAUCACCACGAUAAUCCCCGACCCCAGACAGUCAACACAGUGGGUCAAACACGUGUCAGGAUACCUCUACCCCGAGGUAUGAUGCAUACACACCUUUGAACGCCAUAUGCGUGGCCAUUUACCCUAGCAUAGCACACCUGAUACCGAAGCCAAAACCGAGGCACUCGGAUUACAAGUCCACGAAGAACACGGCCACGUUUUGCUGCUACCACAAGUAUAAUGGCCAUGACGGCGAGAAGUGUAUCACUCUUCGUGAUCAUAUUAAAGCUUUGGCACGUGAAGGAAAAAUUGAUCAAUUCCUCCUUCACGCUUCAAGGAGUAACCGUAACCAACGCCAGGUGAAUGUGAUAUAUUCCAUAAGUGAAGGCACACCCAUAUCUAAAUCUUUCAACAGGGUCAUGAAAAAUAGUGAACGAGCUUUAAGGUCUGGCCACCAAGUGUUUCACGUGAAAAACAUCAGGGGAGGCAAGCAUUAAAAGCCUAACUAGGAUCCAAUAUGUUUCUACCCUGAGGAAGAAAGAGGUAUCAUCUACCCUCACAACGACCCACUGAUCGUGGAAGCUCACAUAGCCAACUUUGAAGUACGACGAAUCCUGGUAAACACAGGGGCUUCGGUCAAUAUCAUGUUUGCCGAAGCUUUCAAGGCACUUAAUGUAGCUGAACACUUGCUCGAUCGCUCGAUUUCCCCUCUGAUAAGCUUCUCCGGUGAUAUCGUGCAACCUUUGGGGAGCAUACACUUACCUUUCACCAUUGGUACAGGCCCUUACACAGCUACCAUUACCACUAACUUCCUAGUGGUUGAUUGCCCAACGACAUACAAUGUCAUCUUGGGACGCACAUGCAUCAAUGAUCUUAAGGCCAUGGUAUCCACACAUAUGUUGUUGAUGAAAUUUCCAACCCCCUAUGGAAAUGGUUACAUCAGAGGAGAUUAGCUUAGUGCACAAUCAUGUUACAACACUUCGGUCAAACAACAACACCUGCCUGCGCCUAAAGAAACCCUUUUUAUACAUGACCAAGUCAUAAAGACCAGCUCAGACGAAGCCAACUUGGAUCUUCACGAUGGCAAUAGUCAACCCGACGAUCCUCGAGAUGACUCUUUCACCCAGCAAGCACAACCCGCUGAAAAGUUGGAGAAUUUCUCUAUCUCAAAAGAUUAUCCGGAUCGCAUGAUGAAUAUUGGCACCACCUUGUCACCACCCAUUCGGUUGGCAUUGAUCUCUUUUUUGCAAGAGAACACUGAGGUCUUUGCCUGGUCAUACGAUGACAUGCCAGGCAUCUCUCCCGAUAUCAUUUGUCAUCACUUAAGUAUUGACCCCAAGACCAAGCCAAUGAGACAGAAGCGAAGAUCCUAUGACGCUGAACGGUACGAGGCGAUGAAGACAGAAGUUGAACAACUCAAAGUCAUAGGCUUCGUCCGCGAAGUCAAUUAUCCAACGUGGGUAGCAAAUGUUGUCCUUGUUAAGAAGAAUCCGACCAAGGAAAGUCUUCUACUCCAAAAAGUCUUGUGGAUAAUGUGUGUCGAUUACACCGACCUAAACAAAGGAUGCCCGAAUGAUAGCUUUCCUCUUUCUCUCAUAGACAGACUUACAGACUCUACAGCAGGGUGUGAACUCCUGAGCUUCAUGGAUGCUUACUCAGGAUACAACCAAAUCCUCAUGAACCCUUCGGACCAAGAACACACAGCCUUCACUACUGACAUGGGACUAUAUUGCUAUAAAGUCAUGUCUUUCGGCCUAAAGAAUGCAGGAGCGAUUUAUCAGAAACUGGUCAAUUCAAUGUUCUCAGAACAGAUUGGGAAGAGCAUGGAAGUUUACGUUGAUGAUAUACUAGUCAAGAGCAAACAUGUUGACUAACACUGUAAACACGGAAUUCCUGCAAUGAAUGAGACAAGAACACGUGUACAAAAUAAUAUUUGUAUUAAUGAUUUAGGGGUUACAAUCUCUUCUACCAAUUUAUCCUCUGAUUCUAUCUUUGAAACGUGUAGAUGUAGUGUUGUUGAUCCAAGGGCCGUCGAGGCUUGAUCUUGGACGAACAGUUGAUGAAUGAUGAACACCUUCUCCAAGGGCCGUCGGGGCUUGAUCUUGAAUGGGUGGAAGUUCUUCAAGGGGCGUUGGGGCUUGAUCUUGAAGGAGGAUUUCACGAAGAACAAAGAGGGCUUUCUUGAUCCUUCGGGAUUUGCUUGAAAGCUUCAAAGUUUCGAGGCUUCAAGGCUUUGGUGUGGUGUGACUUCUCUUCCAAUUUGGGAGUAGAGAAAGUGUAUGUAAAAAUCCUCCCCUGAUUCUUUGAUGGAGGGGCCUAUUUAUAGGCCUUGGGAAUGAAUCACCACCAUCCAUUUGUUUUGGUGGAUGUUGUAGGUGAAUUUUUGGUGGGUGUUGUAGGUGAAUUUUGGUGGGUGUUGUAGGUGAAACUUGGGUGUAUGUUGUAGGUGAAGUGAAUGAAGGUUGUAAUUUUAAUACAAUGGUCAACAUUUAUUACACUAAAAUUUUAAUGUUUUACAAAUGUGAUCUUAAUGCAAUGGCUAACAUUUAUGCCACCGAAAUUUCAAUGUCUACAAAUGCCCCCACUUCAAGGCGCGUUGUAUACAUGUGCUUGUUACAUGUAGAAGAUGCGUUUUGAAGUCCCUUAAUGCAGUUGUCAAUCCAAGGGCCGUUGAGGCUUAAUCUUGGACUGGUCUGGGAGUUUCUUCAAAUGCCGUUAGGCUUGUUCUUGAAUUUUGUUUGGAAUUUCUUCAAGGGCCGUUGAGGCUUGAUCUUGGAUGAAAUUGGACCACAAGGAGCUUCGUGUAGUAGACGAUCUUUGGCUUUGAUAAUGGAUGAAUUAGCACGUAUUUUGUUAUGCUUGUUGAUUUUCCACAACUUUGAUCUUGAACUAGGCUGGAGGAGUUUUCUGGUUUCCUCCAAAGGACUUUCCGCAGACUUAAUCUUGAACUGGAUUUGACUCGAGGGUGGUGGACACUUGAUCUUGAGUCAGGGUCGUUGAGGCUUGAUUUCGAACUUAAACAUGACCACGAGCAGUUUCAGGACAUGCAUGCUUUGAAAGAUCAAGGAAGUUCGUAGCAUUUUCAUAUGAACCCUGAGCAGUUUGGUCAACAGUAUGAUCUUCAAGAUCGAUGGGCUCUUCUUCCAGUUGGUGACUUGAUCUUUAAGGAUUAUCGAGGCUUUGCUCUUCGGUGACGAUGCCAGCGAAAGGUUGUUAAAGCUUCUCAAGCCUCUUGGUUAGAGCAACGAUGUCCAGCUUGGAUCUUUACUUGAACUCCUCUGUCUGGAUUAUGUGGUCAUGCAGGGAAGGCUUCGUGCUUCAUGAUUUGUUCCAGCUCGUUGUGUUGCAUUCUUCUCUGCUUGUUUCUUUUGCAUAGCUGAAGCGGUAUGCAAGCUUUACCUUUAAAUGGUUCUUCGGAGCACCACCUCUCAGCGACUCACUCAUGCUUGGCAGCUUCAGUGCAAAGCGCCGAUGUCAACAGAUCCACACUCCUGAAGCGUUUGCUGAGGGAAUUCGAGACACAUCAGCGGUUGAAGAUGAGCACUCGAGAGCAACGCUAGGUAAGUAACCAGGCAAAGGUUCCAGGCAAUCAGUUCCUGGUCGGACAUUUAAUUUCAGGUUCCGACUGAUUGCUUCCUUUCUCCUUGUUCAGCAGGCAAGAGCAAUGGCAAAGGAGAAGAUUGGGGGAGAGCAUGAUAUGAGAUACCUUUGCUUUCGACCCCAGUGAUAUGAGAUACUUUUGCUUUUGAAGAAGUAGCGGACGAUCAGCACAUGCAUUCGUCGCACUUGUCUCCAUAUGCUUCGAUGCAUCAUCUUCAUCUGCAUCAUCUUCACCUGCAUCAUCAAGAGCUUGAGUGGAGGUUCCGACAUAUUGCUUUCUUUAUCCUUGUUUUCGCAGUGAAGAGGGAGGACAAAGAAAAGGAUAGGGAGAAAGCAUGUUAUGGGAUACUCUUGCUCUCAACCCCAGUGAUAUGAGAUACCUUUGCUCUGACGUGGCUUGGUUGAAGAGGCGCUUCCAGGGAGGAAGAAAACUGAGUUCUGGUUGCAGAUGCCUUCAGCAAGGAAGAAAGGUCAGGCUGGGUGUGUUUUCAGGGAGGAAGAAAACUGAGUUUUGGUUGAAGAUGCCUUCGGCAAGGAAGAGGGGUCAGGCUGGAUGUGUUUUCAGGAAAGAAGAAAACUGAGUUUUGGUUGCAGAUGCCUUCGACAAGGAAGAGGGGUCAGGUUGGAUGUGUUAUCAGGGAGGAGGAAAACUGAGUUUUGGUAUAGGAUGGGGGUCGAAUUAUAUGGUGAGCUCUCAACAUCAAGUGGUAGGGUGAGCGUGGCCUUGUCACCCACGCUUGUCGGCAGAAGUGCGGUAGUUGGCGUAAUGGACUUCACACGUUUUCAAUUUUGUCAGUGAUCUCUGACAAAGUUGCACGUGAUAGCCGAAAGCUGAGAUUGUGUCUGAAAAGUGUCGACGGACUUUACGCAGAAAAAUCCGGGUUUUGAAAUUCAGAGAGUGGCGUCUCUUCGAUUUAUGAACGAAUGGUCGUGCUGCCUCUCCUUUUAAAGAGGUGUCAAUUGUAUUCAACAUGCACAAUUUGAAGGUUGCCUGCCCGUGAAAAAUUAUCUCUGCUGCUCUGAGAUUUUACUUCCUCCAACCCUUUUCUUUUAGUAUUUUUUGAAAAUGGCUUCCCCUUUUAACAUUUGCUUAGAUGUGAGUCUCAGUAGUGACACAGGCGCACCGCGUCAGGGUAAUGUAUGGCGCCCGUCCUUUUUUUCUUCUAAUGGCCCCCUUACAGUUGAAGACUCUGUGAUGAGGGAUGCAACAACGGCUACGGUUGUAGCCAGAAACCUCAUCACUCCUAAAGAUAAUAGGAUACUUUCACGACGGUCCGAUGAGUUAGCUGUUCAAGAGUCCCAGGCUCUCAGUGUCCAGUGUGCGAACUCUGUUUCCAACAUGGGCCAACGCUUACUUGCUCGAACUCGCCAGGUUGAAUCAUUGACAACUGAGGUGGCAGCUCUUAGUCAAGAGAUUAGGCAGCUCAAGUGUGAGAAUAGGGAGUUGCAUGUGCUUGCAAAUAGUUAUUCGACGGGCAUGAAGAGGAAGCUUGAUCAGCUGAUGGACUCCGAAGGUCGAAUUCAAAGUGACCAUCAGAAGUUUGUGGAUGCAUUCCAGAGGCACUUUUUGCCUUCGUCAUCUGGAGUUCGACCAAGUAUUGAGGCUCCGAAUAAGCUAUCUUCAGUGCCUCCUUCUUUUAGGGUUCCACCGAGUACCAAGGCUCCAAGUACUGAGGCUUCACACAAGUGACAUUCGUGAAGGCUUUUUCUACUUUCUUUCUCUUUUUUUUUUUUUUUUUUUUUUUUUUUUUUGUAAUUUCUCGGAGAUAUUAAUGGACAUGCCUUAUUUUAUUCCGUGCAUCUACUCGGACGAACGUGUGGGAGUUAGAGUGUUGGGACUUAUAAUGUGUAAUGAUGCCCAUUUUGAAACCUUUAUUUUCUUUGCCCUCCGCAUGGUGCUGAUAUAUAUAAUUCCCUUUCUUUUCUUUUUUUUUUUUUUUUUUUUUUUUUUUUUUUUUUUUUUUUUUCAGAGUAGUGCCAUGCACCAAGAUUUCACUAUUUGUAUACAUAUGUUUUGAUGGAUGUUGCCUGACGCACCAAACACCUUUCAUCAUUUUUUAUUUUUAUUUUUAUUAUAUAUAUUUAAGAAACUAGGAACAUGAUUCUUCAAAGGGGAAGCGAAGUGGAGAGCAUGGGUCUUCCUUGCUGCAUCGUAUUCUUCUCUGUACCACUUUUUUAUUUGCACAGUCACCGCACCAUUCUUCUAUGCGUUCUUCUCUGCACACGGAUCACUGUUUGAACAGCUACUAUACUACAUUCUUCUCUGCACUCUUCUCUUCACGCGGAUCACUGUUUGCACAGCUACUGUACUGCAUUCUUCACUGCAUGCGGAUUGCUGUUUACACAGUCAAUGCAUCGCAUGCGGAUCCGUUUCUUUUGCAACUGUUGAGAUCGUUGUAUAUAUAUACAUAGGCAUACGCACACACAUACACACAUAGGGCACUGCACAUUCACCACACAGCUGCUACCUGGCUGCGAUCACGACUGCGUGCACUGCUUCCUGCGUUCCCCGCGUCUGCUAGCUGGUAAGUCUCUGUAUUUGCUACCUCUUUCAGCUCUACAUCUUCGUCGACUGGGCUUUCUUAUGUAGCAUCUUCUGUUGCUCAUGCUACUAACAGUGCGCCUAUUGUUCCUGGAGGAUCCUCGUUUGCUGCUACUGAGCUCGGUGCUGGAAGGAAAUGCAGGAGGUAGGGUGACCAGUGCUGCAGACGGGAAGAAGGAGGUAGUCGGCUGGCAGGAUGCAGCUUUUACUUCGUGAGUCCGUUUAUAUGUAUAACCCAUCACCAUGCAUUUAUAUAUAUAUCCCAGAGCCACACGCAGCAGGCGUUUAUACAUAUAUAUAUAUAUAUAUAUAUAUAUAUAUAUAUGUAUAUAUAUAUACGGGUUAGCGUCCUUCACUGCUUUUUUAGAUGUAUUCAGAGUAACGUUAACAUUUACAAGUUAACUUAAACCCUUCAAAGCACGGUAUUUGUAUAUCGGCAAAUAUAGCCCCACCAUUCACAUCCAAGUUCAAAUCUGUUCAUUCGACCCGCAUGCCUUUCUUCUGCGUUGUGCCUUCCAAGUCUUGCAUCAACAAUCUGUCACGGAUGAUCUGUUUAUCGAACGCUGUUAAGUCAUCCAGGAUAGCCGUGCAGCAUCCCAUGCUGUCAUGUUUCUUCAUUAGCUUGUUUGAAGAAGCAUGCCCGUGAACGUUACAUCCAGUAAAACAGUAUUGAAGUCGCAGAAGGUGCCUUAUAUAUACAUAUAUAUAUAUAUAUGUAUGUCCUGGAGCCGCACAUAGCAUACCUUUAUACAUACAUAUAGCCUGGAGCCGCACACACUCACACUUAUUUAUAUACAUUUAUAGCCCUGAGAUCAGUUGUCCCAUCUUGGAUGCCGCACAUACUUACACUUAUUUAUAUAUAUAUAUAUAUAUAUAUAUAUAUAUAUAUAUAUAUAUAUAUGUUGAGUGUCUUGUCGCUUUUUGACAUGUUGUACGUACAUAUAUAUAUAUAUAUAUAUAUAUAUAUAUAUGUUGAGUGUCCCGUCGCUUUGCAUGUAUGUGUGUAUAUAUAUAUAUAUAAGUUGGCUGGCGGUUGUCCCAUCAUUCUGCAUGUAUACAUAUAUAUGGAAGUUGGUUGUGAUUGAUACCGUGCACACAUGUACAUGUAUGUGGAAAUUGAUUUGUCCCCUCACCAAACCGUGCACUUGUUUCAUCACCACGAACAUAAUAUAAUGUUUUUUUUUAUUUUUUUAUUUUUUAUUUUUAUUUUUUUUAUGCACGAUGUGUGUGCUCCCACUGAUGGAUUUGUUUGCUGUGAUGCCAGGAAUCUUUGAUCUUGAGAAGGCAGAGCUUGACUCCAGGAUCUUCACGAAGCUUUUAGAGCCGUGGUAGCAGGUCGUGGGUGUGCCAGAUACUGCAACGAGGUUUCGCUGUGUAGUGCCUUUUGAUCACAGUUUUCCCUCGGUGGUGUGCUGCCGUGUGGAGCUGUGCAAGAGACUGCAGCGGGGCUCCGCUGCGGGUUUACGUAGCAUUUUGGUUUCCUCUGCCACUGUAGCGUGCUUUGAAGGGUCGUCCUGUAGCUACCAUCUUUGUCGUGCUGGUCAAGUUUUGUGGCUGACUUUUUUUGUUGCAGUCAUGGUGUUUCUCAAGUGCUUUAAAAGCAACACUAUCGCCAUUCUUGCAAAGGAAGGCGAUUCACAGGAUAGUGGAACGACGUUAAAGCUUUAUGCACUACUUACCGGCCCCAAGGCGUUUGCCCUUCCCGCAAAAGACAAUUCCAUGCAUAUUAAGUCGUGGUCUUCUGAAGUACCUUGGGAUGUGGUAGACUCUGUUCGACUUAAUGCAAAGAAAAAGGCAUGCACAUCGAUGAGUCUUAUCUUGAACUAUUCGCACCAUGUUCGUGACAAUCAUUCAGUUUCGUUUGAGCUUCUUAGCGAUCGUAUCCGUAGCGGAGCUAUGGCUUGGAGUAGCACCUUGUCGACUACUAGAGGAGCCGCCUUCGUUGAGUUUUAUUGGGAAUGGCUUGAAGAUGUCUUGAGCCGUUCCAAAGAUAUGCUUACCAGCACGGGCAUUUAUCAUGCUGUAUAUGCAUCUCUGUUCAGUUAUGACCGACAUCCUUCCGUCAUGCGUGCAUUCUUUGAGCAUUGGUGUUCAGCGACCAACACACUUCACACGGCUCGAGGGAAGAUGUCGUUCUCGCUUUGGGAUCUCCAUAAGAUAGGAGGCUUGCCAAUCCAGGGAAAAUUCUAUGAUGAGGUUGUUCCUAGUGUGGAAGAGUUUUCUUAUCGCAACAGUCGAGGAUUACCUGCGAGCUGCCGCUAUUUGUUUGGGGCAUACCAUAAGCUUUUCCAAGAGGCCCCAGGUAAGUCAGGCGUGAAGAUUUCUUCAUGGAUCCGAUUUUGGUAUUGGGAUGCCAUGAAGUACAAGAGGCCUUCGAAGAAAAGUGGUCGUAACAAGACAACCAGGCCUAAGGGGGACUCGGACCCGUCGAGUGUCAUUGGUCCAGCUGUUCGUCGUACUUCUGCUGAGUUGAAGGCAUUUGAGGAUUGUGGCGUGGCGUCAGAGCACUUAGAAGAAUCUUACUUAGCCGCUUUCUUAGCUUGUUGGCUCUGUAAGUUUGUUUUCCCCAAGGAUGAUGUCAACCUCAUUCGUCCCGGAGUCUUCAAAGUUGCUAGCAAGAUGGCUGCAGGUGAAUCUUUUAGCCUUGCUAUUCCAGUUUUAGCCAACAUUUACGACGGCUUGAAUGUUAUUUCGAACUUGGCAAGCACUGAAGAUCGUGCUGCGGUGCUCCCUUACCACUAUGUGUAUGGUUGGUUGGGUGAGUAUUUUGGCACUCAUUUUUCUUCGUCAACUUUAGACAAGUCAGGUCCUUCUUCUCUGACUUCAGUCAAGAUGGGGCCUUUAAUGACGAAGUAUUCUGGCGUGCUUUCUGCGAGGAGUCUUGACGAUUUGCAGGCUCAAACACUGUUUAGAAGUUGUGAAGGCUUAAAAAUGGACCACCUGGCGAGAGUUGGCUCAGUACGGCGAGGCAUCAUGGACGAUUCGCAUCUUCGCUCUUCAGAUUUGUCUUAUCUUAUAAGUCUUCGCUCGGCGUAUGUUUCUUUGCGGCAAGAAAACCGAUGCGUCGUUCAGCCGUACAAUCCUCACCGUUUUAGCAGGCAAUUUGGUUUCGUCCAAAAUGUGCCGGGCAGGCUGAAGGAAAGGGCCCAAUCAGAAUCCUUGCAAGCCGUGUAUAUGCAUUGGGAGUCUUGUACCCGUGCCUGUACGAAUGCUUAUAUCACUCUGCCAGCCAAGGACGAGUUCAGGGGUAAUCCAGUGACUCGUGUUUACGCGCAUUGGUGGUCAAAGGUACAUCAUGAGGAUUUGGGGAUGGCAAGUGGUACUAAUUCUUCCCAUUCACGCCAUGAUGCGUCGAAAGGAGGCAGUUUUGCGACUCCUAUGCAGCUGGUACCUUUUGAUCGUGCGAGUGCAACUCCCUUGCAAGACAGACCUGUGGCUUUAGUCCGUCAACGCUUGUGCUCGUCUCCUCACCAUUUGGACGCUUCUGAAGAGGCGGGUGACGAAGUUGAUUCGUAUGAAGAUGGACUUGUUUUGCGGCGGCGCCAACAAGUUUUAAACAAACGACCUCUUGAAGUUGCUCAGGUUGACAGCGAUGUCAAUUUUCGUCAUAAAAAGAAAGAAGUGUUUAGGCCUCCCCAAUCCGAUGGUCGUGUGUCUUCAGAGAAAGAUGUAUGCAUUUCUUUCUCUCUCAUGACUUCUUAUUCUUAUUUCAGCUUUUGCUUCUAACACUUCUCUUCGUCUUCUUUAGGUUGGGUCUUCCUGUUCUUUUGAUUUGGCGACCGCGGGUGUUCACUCCUAUAUGGAUAUGCUACUUGGAGGCAAUCUACCUACAGACGGGGAGAUUGGGGAUCCGCCCGGUGAAGAGCUCGUUCAAAAUUCGCCCAAUCUUCCAAGCCUGCCGUGUGUAGGUGAAGGCGUACAAGAGUCCAUCAUAUGUCCAGCACCUUUGCCAGCUAGUUCUGCGAUCUCUUUGAGAGGGCCGAACCUUAAUGGUACCGAGCAAUUUAUCCAUCGCCUCAAACUUCGUGCUGCCUUGGAUGUCAAAAGCCAUAUUGAGAGUAGGAUUUCGAAGUGCUCGCUGGAAGACCUUUCAUUGCUCGAAGAAGAUUUGUCGAAGCUUGUUUCUACGAUUGACAAUCUUAAUGUUGAUUCUUCGUCUUUGAGGAUCAAGAUCGCCGAACUUAUGGCUGCCUCCACUGAGUAUUCUUCCUUGCGCACUAUUUCCUUGAAGAAGUUGAGCCCAGAUGAUCGAGCUCAACAGCUUGCAACAAUAGACUUGUCCUUAGCCCGAGUCCGGUCUUCUCAGCAAGUUGCUUCGGGAGAUUAUCAAGUCACAGAGGCUUCUUUAGCUUCCGUCCAGGUGCGUCUGGAUGCGUUGGUACGAGAGCGAGAGCAGUUGGGAACCCAAGCAUCACAACUUGAAAAGGUUCUUGCAGAACAGAGGGCUACACUUUCUCAGCACCAUGAGGAGAUUUCACGUCUAAAACAAGAGAAAGGCAUGGCUAUGGAUUUGCCCACCUUGUCUCCGACCGAGGUGGAGACUUUGAAGACUUUGGAAGGCUUGUUUCAAGAUCGCCUCCGUAGUUUUAGGGACAUAUCUUUCCAGUAAUAUUUUCUGUCUUUUUUUUAUUUUUUUAUUUUAUUUUUUUUUAUUUUAAAGAAAUGAAGUAUUCGCCUUCUUGCAUUUGCUCUUUAUUCUUCAAAGUAUUUGUGUUUUUGUUGAUGAUGUGACUGUACUUGAAGUUUUGAAGUUUCAAGUUGCCUACGUACCCCCGGUUGAUGAGGGAUCAAGUCAUAACGUAGUUCAAAUGGUGAUGAUUUUUUUUUUUUUAUAGUGAUUUGAUGAUGAUUUUGCCGUACACAGUUUAUGCUCUUGCGGGCCAGGAGCUCUGUGCCGUGUGCAGUUUAGGCUCAUGCAGGCUAGGAGUCUGGUCGUCGCCUUUUAGAGGUAGUAACGCUUCAAGAAUCUACCGUUGAUGGGACCGAUCUUCAAGCCGUCUUCUGCCAUGAUUAAGUAGGCGCCGUUCGUGUAGACCUCUUGUAUUACGUACGGUCCAUCCCACUUUGACGUGAACUUGCUUUUUGUCUUGUGAGUUGUGAUGAUAGGCCUUCGUAAUGCAAGGACGAGAUCUUCAGUUUGAAAAGACCUUGGGCGAACCUUCUUGUUGAAUGCCUUGGAUAGUCGAGCUUGGUAGCAUUCCAAGUGUUGUUGAGCUUCGAGCCUUCUUUUGUCGAGUGAUUCCAACUCUUGAAGGCGCAACUUUGCAUUCUCUUCAUCAGUCAAGCCUUCUUGUAUAGCCAUCCUAAGUGAGGGGAUUUGACUUUCCAGCGGUAGAACAGCUUCCACGCCAUAUACGAGAGAAUAAGGGGUAGCUUGGGUAGGGGUCCUAUGCGUCGUCCUAUAUGCCCAAAGUGCUUCGCUUAUUCUUUCGUGCCAGUCUCUCUUUGUUCGGCCGAUCACUUUCUUUAAGAGGUUGCACAAUGUUUUGUUGAAUGCUUCUGCAAGACCGUUGGCCGGAACAUGAUACAUGGAAGACUUGUGCUGCUUAAACUUGUAUUUCUCACAGAGCUCGUCUACAAGUCGGUUGGAGAACUGUUUUCCAUUGUCAGUGAUAAUGUAGCGAGGCACACCAUAUCUGUGGAUGAUAUGCUCUUUGAUGAAACGGACAACAGUUUCCUUUUUUACUUCCCUUAGGGGUAUGGCUUUAGCCCACUUGGAGAAGUAAUCUGUUGCAGCUAGGAUGUAAGCUUCUCCUGCAGAUGACUUUGGAGUAAUUGGUCCCACGACGUCCAAUCCCCAUGCAUCGAAUGGCCAUGAAGCAGUUGUAGGGUGUAAUGGUUCAGGUGGUUGAUGUAUGAAGUUGGCGUGGAAUUGGCAGGCUUGGCACCUUUUGGCAUGUUCCAGGCAAUCCUUCACCAUACUUGGCCAGUAGUAACCCAUUCUCUUGAGCUGGAAAUGUAGCUUUGGUCCAGAUUGAUGCGCCGCGCACACGCCUGAGUGUGCUUCUUCCAUGGCUUGAUUGGCUUCUUCCUCACCUAGGCAUCUCAGAAGUACUCAUUCGAAAGAGCGCCGGUAGAGUGUUUCUUUGUAGUAGAGGAAACGAGGUGCUCGUCGACGUAUUUCAGAGCGGUGUCUAGGAUCAUUUGGAAGUUUUCCAUACUCUAAGUAGUCAAUCAAUGGUUGUCUCCAUUCUUCAACAUCGACUGGAAGUACCGAGAUGACAUUUGUAUCAUCUAGUAGCAUUUCGGUGGCGAGGGGGAUGACCCAUCUUUGGCAAACUGGCACAUCUGCAGCUUCGUCUUCUCCUAGUGUCAUACUCGAGGCCAGGUUAGCGAGAGCGUCUGCCAUUUGAUUUUCUUUUCUCGGCACAUGUUCUAGUGUUACGGCCUCGAACUUUUGUAGCAGCUGAGUUGCCAUUCGGAAGUACGGAAUGAGAUCAUCUUUCCUCACCUCGUAUUCAGUCAAGAGUUGACUAAUUAUGAGCUUGGAGUCGCCAUAUACCUCAAGGGUUGUGAUUUCCAUGUUGAUCGCCAUUUGGAGCCCGAUGAUUAGUGCUUGGUACUCAGCGACGUUGUUGGAGCAUAAUUCGCUUAGUUGGAAUGAAUAAGGUAGUAUUUGCCUUUGUGGCGACAUGAAUACUACUCCUGCCCCCGCUCCGUCUGCUCGUGCGGAUCCGUCGAAGAACAUCGUCCAUCUCGGGAAUAUGUCAAUGUAGAAUACCUCCUAGUCAGGCAAGUCGUCUGAGAUUUUCCAAUCGGCUGGGAUUGGAUGAUCGGCAAGGAAGUCCGCUAAUGCUUGUCCCUUGACGGCUUUAGCUGGGACGUAAAUGAUCUCGUAUUGAUUGAGAAUCAACGCCCAUUUAGCUAGUCGCCCUGUCAAAACUGGCUUGGACAUGACGUAUUUAACCGGGUCAGCUUUAGCAACCAAGUGGAUGGUGUGUAAGCAUGCAUGUAAUGUCUGAGCUUCUGGAUGGCAAACACCAAGGCAAGGCACAUUUUUUCUAUUGGGGAGUAGUUCAACUCAGCGCCGGUGAGUGUUCGACUCAGGUAGUAAAGCCCUCAUUCUUUCUGGAAUUCGUUUUCCUGUGCCAAGAGUGCUCCCACUGAACUUUCCUGAGCGGCGAUGUACAAUAUGAGUGGUUUCCCGGGCACAGGCGCGCCCAGGACAGGUGGACUUGAUAAAUAUUUUUUUAUGCUUUCAAAAGCGUUGUGGCACGCUUCGUCCCAUACGAACGGGACAUCCUUUUUCAUGAGUCGACUAAACGGUUGACAACGCCCUGCAAGGUUGGAGAUGAAACGUCUGAUGAAGGCUAGUCGUCCUUGUAGACUUUUCAGCUCGUGCAGGUUUCUUGGCUCGGGCAUGUUUUGAAUGGCCUUGAUCUUUGAUUGGUCCACUUCAAUGCCACGGUGCUUGACAAUGAAGCCGAGGAACUUUCCAGAGGUGACGCCAAACGUACACUUUAACGGGUCCAUCUUGAGGUUGUAUUUUCGCAGCCUUUCGAACACUACUCGCAAAUCCUUCAAGUGAUCUGAUCUUUUCUUUGUUUUGACCACCACGUCGUCUACAUAACAUUCUACGUUUUUGUGUAGCAUGUCAUUGAAGAUUUUCUGCAUUGCUGGCUGAUAUGUGGCUCCAGCGUUCUUUAGACCAAAGGGCAUCACCUUGUAGCAGUAGAUACCUUUUGGAGUGCGGAAUGCUGUUAGUUCCUCAUCUUCGAGAGCCAUACGAAUUUGAUUGUACCCAGAAGAGCCGUCCAUAAAUGACAGUGCCUCGUGGCCAGUGGUUGCGUCCACCAUGAUUUCGAUGAUCGGUAAGGGGAAGUCAUCUUUCGGGCAAGCGUCAUUGAGGUCCCGGAAGUCUACACAAACACUUAUUUGUCUAAAUUUCUUAAGGACGAUGACGAUGUUGGAGAUCCACUUGGGGUAUUGCACCUCUCGAAUGAAGCCUGCUUCUAUUAGCUUGUCAAUCUCUACCUCGAUUUGUGGAAUGAGCUCAGAUCGAUAGCGCCUUUGAGUUUGCUUUAUCGGUCGCGUUCCAGGCUUAACUGCAAGAUGAUGCACAGCGAUGACAGGGUCAAGGCCGGGCAUUUCCUUGUAAGUCCAAGCAAAGACGUCUUUGUACUCUGAUAACAGUAGGUAAUACUCCUCUACCUCGUCCGCACUUAGCAGCGCACUCACGAAGAUAGGUUUCUGCUCCUCUUUUGUGCCUAAGUUGAGCUCCUUGAGAUCAACCGUGGAUUGCCCCCCCAUCCUCAAGUUGCGGUGGCGCAGCAGCGACAUCUUCUUCGGGGAUCUCAUCUUCUCUGCUUUCUUGGAUCGUGAUGUGGAAGACAUCUUGGAAUUCCUCUUCGGUGUCGUCCUCUUGGGCUGGUCGGCAUGAAGAUUGUCCAGUGUGGAUGAUGGUGCGCCUUCUUACUUUUAGUGGUCCAUUUGUGUCCACCUCCAAGAUUGCUUGGCGCUUCAUCCUUGAAGGAAUUGAGCUUCGAAUAUCACAUUUUUCUGCUAUCAUGUCGAGCUUUUCUUCCUUUGACGUUGUUUUCCUAUUUCUAGAAAACUUCUUGUUGUCUUCAAGUCUUUCCAAAGCUGACUGACGAGGAAGAGAGCUAGUCGUGUUGCUUUGCUUCUUAGGUUUUGACAACCUUUCAAAAACAGAGCUUUGGGAUGUUGGCAUGUUAAGUCUUUUGAAGACGGAGGUUCGGUUUUGACCACCAAUGCGGUUAAGUGCUGACAUUCUGGGUCUUGAACGAUUCAUCCUAUCGAAGACUGACGUCCAAGGGGUGGAUUUAGGCUCAUCAUGAUCUUGUUCAAUACUCACGCUGAUGUGUUGAGUGCUAGCAUUUUUCGCUUUGCUUGAAAUCUUCACGGGUGCAUUUGGUGUGAAGCCUAGUCCAGCUUUGUUGUUAUCAACUCCGUAACCAUGCUUCUUCAACUUCUUUUGAGUCUCGGUGAGGUCACGUUCUUUAUUGUUAACGGUGUUUGAAACCUUCUUUCCAUGAUUCGAAGAAGAAGCGAAGUCGUAGCCAGCUUUCGACAUGAGUUUUUAUAGGCGUUUGGAUCAAAAAACCUUCUUCGGUCCUCUGGGUUGGGAGAAAGCUUGGUUCCACCCCCUUUGGUAGAGCUUUUAUGAAGCCUUGUGGUAGUCUUGCGACCUUAGUGCCGCCUAGCUGUGUCAGAGGUAAAACUGCAUUCGUCUUGAGCAACUUUACAUUAUCCAUAUGCCUCUGUGCAUCGGCUUUGUUUGCUCCAGUUUCGAACGGAGAUUGACCAUUCUUUCUUCUCGACAUCGGGAUGUAUCGGAAGACGGGUGUGUUUGGUCCAUUUGAGGGCGUCCUACUCCCCUUUGUUGUUGCACGUUUAGCCAGCUCAUUAUCGUUCUUGCUUGAAGACGGCGUAACUUCUUCUUCUUGCUUCUUGGGCAUGGCUUGUCGCCCCUGCUUUUUAGGUGUUGCUUUGCCCGUGGAUUUGAUCUCUUUUGGAAGAGCUUCGGGCACCAUGUCUUCAUCCAUGUAGAACUUGGCGUCUGCGAAAUGUGAUUCGGCUUCAGUGAAUGGUUUGGUGUCGCCAUAGAUCACAUUCACUCCUUCUCGGUAGAAUUUUAAGCAUUGAUGAAGGGUGGACGGUACUACUCCAUUCGCAUAGAUCCAAGGCCUUCCUAAGAGUAAGCCGUAGGAAGUUCUUGCAUCAAUCACGUGGAAUAUCGUGCUCGACUUGAGUUCACCAAUAGUCAUCUCUACUCAGAUCAUGCCCAUCGCUCUUUGUCCUCCUUGAUUAAAACCUUGGAUUAGUAGACGACUUAGGGACAGUUCAUCCGCCUUGAUGCCGAUUGUAGUCAUUGUCGACUUUGGCAUGAUGUUUAUGGCUGAUCCACCAUCCACAAGCAUGCGGUUGACUUUGUGCCCCUUUACAUACCCAGAGACGAAGAGAGGACGGUUGUGAGGCUUGGAUCCUAGCAGCAAGUCUUCAUCGGUGAAAUGGAUUGCGUCUUCGAUGGCACAACAUGUGGCACAUUCAUGUGGCCGAGGCUUCAAGCCUUCGUUCUUGCUUUUUGUACUUCGUGUUCAUUGGGACUUUCCAAGACAGCUGUUAAUGCUAUUCGCAUCUUCUUUGGUAAUCGUAACGCUUCCUCAAUGCUAAAGUGUGUUGGCAGACCUUCUUCGAGCGUGAAAGUUUUUUCUCCCUCAGCGGUGAUAUCUUUGCCUUUUGAAGGUUCUUCCAUUUCUACUUCGACCAUAUGGCAUGCAGCGAUAGUGCACUGUUGGAAGAAGUCAUUCGGGAAGUACUCGUACAAGGAGACAGGAAUGCGUGGCUCUUGCUCCAUAGGUUCCCCAGCAUACGUUGGCUUAUCGACUUUUACGUUUCUUUUAGGCUUCCUAUUGUUGCGGCGACGGUGUUUUCUCACUUGUUCCACAUUUGGUCUUGUGGCUUGUGGUUUUGGUUUCCUUGUUUUUUUGUAGGUCACCAAUGUCCAUCCUUCAUCAUCAUCGGUAUACGCAUCUUGUUCGUUUGCCCCCGGCGAUGGUUGUGUAGAAGGCGCCGUGUAGCUUGCACAUUGAUAGGAAUGGUCGGGUGUCGUUUGGAGAGGCACGGGAUCGAAGGAUCAGAACGCCACCGUAGUAGUAUGUGUUGCGGCUGUGUCCUCAAGGUCUAGCUCGAUUCUCCCUUGUUGCGCUAGCUUCAUAAUGAGUUCUUUGAGGACGAAGCACUUGCCCACAUGAUGGCUUACGAUACGAUGGUACUUGCAGUACCUAGGAUCGUUCAUUCGAUUCAUUUCUUCAGGGCGCUUGCACUCUGGUAACUCAAUUACCUUCUUUUCCAGCAAGUCAUCUAACAUCGCAUCCACGUCUGAGUCAGGAAAAGGGUACGUCUUUUGCUCCAACUCUCUCAAGGUGUUUUUAUACUUGUCUUGGGUGCGAGGAGGCUCACUUCUCUUUGUCUCCUUUGCCUUGGUCUUGGAGGAAAUCUUGAUAGGCGCAGAGGUGGUCUUGAUAGGAGCGGAUGGGGUUUUGAUGGGGGUAGUGUUGACAGUAAAAGUUUCCUUGGUAGGCUUUUUUUCGGUCUUGUCCACACUCGGGGCGAACACCUUAUCCUUCUUAAAGUGGGUGAUCGGCUCAUUCUUUCCGUGAUUGGCGAUACUCAGCUCCAUGUCGUGGGAGCGUGUUGCCAGCUCCUCAAAUGUUCUUGGUUUUAUGCCUUGGAGAAUGUAAUGUAACCCCCAGUGCAUGCCUUGAACACACAUCUCAAUGGCAGAGGUUUCAGAGAGCCGAUCUUUGCAAUCCAGACUUAAUGAACGCCAUCUAUUGAUGUAGUCGACGACGGGUUCCUCAUUCCACUGUUUCGUACUGGUCAGCUCCAGCAUGCUUACGGUGCGGCGCGUGCUGUAGAAGCGGUUGAGGAAUUCCUUUUCUAGCUGAUCCCAACUGUUGAUAGACUCGGGCUCGAGGUCGGUGUACCAGUCAAAGGCGUUGCUUUUCAGCGAGCGCACGAACUGCUUGACGAGGUAGUCUCCCUCUGUUCCAGCAUUGCUGCAGGUUUCAAUGAAGUGGGCGAUAUGUUGCUUCGGGUUCCCCUUUCCAUCAAACUGCAUAAACUUUGGUGGUUGAUAACCCCUCGGCAUCUUCAAAGCGUCAAUCUUCUUAGAGUAGGGCUUUGAGUAUAGUACGGAAUCAUGUGAUCUUCCUUCAUACUGCGCCUUGAUGGUGUUGACGAUCAUCUCAUGCAGCUGCUAGAUAGAGAGAGACCCCAUGAGUGUCGCCGCUUGGUCUGGCUUCAGCGUCUCUUCGACGUUCUCCAAUGGAGGUUCCUCAUCCUCGUCGUUUUCCUUCUUUACUGGAUUAUCCCCUUGCCUGACUUUCUCAUCGAGCUUUGCAUCUAGUUGGUUAACGAGUGCUGCGAUUUGCAGGUCUUUUUCCUCCACAGUCCUUGUGAGCUUUGCGAUUGCUUCAUUCAUCUGAGCCAGCUGCUCCUCAAUUGAAGUUGUUCCAGUAACCAUGACUUGCAUAGCUAUGCCGCUGCUUGAGUCGGCAUCGGAAAGUAAGGAUUCAGAGUACUUCCUCUGGCUUUCCUCUCUUGGCGCCCUAAGCGAGGCCAGGGUGAUCACCGGUUCGAACCUCGGGUGCUCUUGUGCCUUCGGCGGAGUUGAUGAAGGGGCGAAAGAGGCGGCGGAAAGAGCUUUUGCCUUGCUUCGAGUUAUGAUGCCUGAAGUGAUGCCCCCUGCCGUGAUGACGCUUUUGUUUCUUGCAUCGGCAGUGGGAACAACUCGGGCCUUCUUUGACGCCAUUUGUGCUUGUUGCGGAUUCACAGAUAGAGAUGAGAGGUAGAGACUGUCCCACUGGGCGUGCCAAAUUUGUAAACACGGAAUUCCUGCAAUGAAUGAGACAAGAAAACACGUGUACAAAAUAAUAUUUGUAUUAAUGAUUUAGGGGUUACAAUCUCUUCUACCAAUUUAUCCUCUGAUUCUAUCUUUGAAACGUGUAGAUGUAGUGUUGUUGAUCCAAGGGCCGUCGAGGCUUGAUCUUGGACGAACAAUUGAUGAAUGAUGAACACCUUCUCCAAGGGCCGUCGGGGCUUGAUCUUGAAUGGGUGGAAGUUCUUCAAGGGGUGUUGGGGCUUGAUCUUGAAGGAGGAUUUCACGAAGAACAAAGAGGGCUUUCUUGAUCCUUCGGGAUUUUGCUUGAGAGCUUCAAAGUUUCGAGGGCUUCAAGGCUUUGGUGUGGUGUGACUUCUCUUCCAAUUUGGGAGUAGAGAAAGUGUAUGUAAAAAUCAUCCCCUGAUUCUUUGAUGGAGGGGCCUAUUUAUAGGCAUUGGGAAUGAAUCACCACCAUCCAUUUGUUUUGGUGGAUGUUGUAGGUGAAUUUUUGGUGGGUGUUGUAGGUGAAUUUUGGUGGGUGUUGUAGGUGAAACUUGGGUGUAUGUUGUAGGUGAAGUGAAUGAAGGUUGUAAUUUUAAUACAAUGGUCAACAUUUAUUACACUAAAAUUUUAAUGUUUUACAAAUGUGAUCUUAAUGCAAUGGCUAACAUUUAUGCCAUCGAAAUUUCAAUGUCUACAAACACAUCACCAACUUAUCUGAAACUUUCACCAUUCUGAAGAGGUAUCGAAUGAGGCUGAACCCUAACAAAUGUGCCUUCGGCGUAUGCUCUGGCAAAUUCUUAGGCUUCAUGAUAAGCCAACGAGGCUUUAAGGCUAAUCUCAAGAAGAUCAAAGCAAUCCUCGACAUGAAGGAACCGGUAACUUCAAAGGACAUCCAAAUCAUUACUGGCAAGGUGGCAGCCUUAACUAGGUUCAUCUCUAAGGCCAUAGACAGAUGUGCUUCUUUCUUCAGAGCACUUAAGGGAAGUAAGAAGUACAUUACAUAGACUGAUGAUUGUGCUGAGGCAUUCAAGAACCUCAAGACUACAUGAGUAAAGCCCAUCUGCUCUCCAAACCUGAGGUUGGUGACACUCUCAUUAUCUAUCUGUCGGUAUCGGCUUCAGCAGUAAGUUCCGUUCUCAUUCGAAAGGAUGGUAAUGUUGAAUGGCCUGUCUACUACGCUAGUAAAACCUUACAAGAUACGGAGACACGAUACUCCAACAUCGAGAAAUUGGCUCUCGCAUUGGUCAUGUCUGCUCGAAAACUUCGCCCUUACUUCCAAGCACACUUCAUCAUCGUGCUUACCAAUCAUCCUCUUCAACAGAUACUCCAAAGUCCUGACACUUCCGGGCGAAUGAUCAAAUGGGCAAUAGCAUUGGGUGAGUUUGACAUCUCAUACCAACCAAAGCCAGCUGAGAAGGGCCAAGCAGUGGCAGACUUCAUCGUCGACUUCACAUAUCCUGUUGACAUUGUUUCUACGCCUAAAGAAGUGGUUUCAUUACCCUCGGAAGCUCAGAAAACAGAACCAACAGCCCCAGCAUGGAGCCUAUAUGUUAAUGGCUCGUCCAACCAACAGGGUUGUGGAGCAGGACUAGUCUUUACGACCCCUAACAAAGUGGCAAUAAAGUAUGCUCUUCGUUUCAAAUUCAAGGCGUCGAACAAUGAGGUCGAAUAUGAAGCCCUCCUAGCAGGCUUACAUUUGGCCAAACAUCUUAGGGUUAAACGAAUUGACAUUUUCAGUGACUCCCAAUUAGUGGUUAACCAGGCCACCAACAACUUUGACGCUAAGGAUAGUUCCAUGGCAGCAUAUCUGGCACAAACACAAUUGUUGCUCAAGCACUUUCACUACCAGAUCACCCAAAUUCCUCGAGCGGCAAACAGUUAUGCAGAUGCUUUGGCUCGCCUUGCCUCAGCGGUGGAAGACAAGAUUGGGAGAAAAAUUCAGGUCGAAUUGUUGGCAGCACCAAGCACCAUGGCUGCGGAAGUAUGCAACUUACAACAGGGGGAUAGUUGGAUUACCCCGAUUUAUAGAAUCCUUACUUAUGGCACCCUUCCAAAUGACAAAGUCCAAGCUAAGCAAAUUCGAUACAAGGCUACCCGUUACUUGAUCAUUAAUGACCAACUCUACAAGCGGGGUUUUAACCUACCAUACCUAAGAUGCCUUACGCCCGUAGAGGCGGAAACUGUCCUUCGGGGAAUACGUGAAGGAGUCUGCGGAGAUCAUGCUAGAUCUUGAUCCCUAGCACACAAGGCUUUUCGCCAAGGAUAUUACUGGCCAACACUCCACCAAGAUGCCAUCAGAAUAUCCCGCUCAUGUGAUAAGUGUCAAUGCUACGCAACUAUUCCUCACUCCCUUCCCGAGCCGCUCACUCCUAUGAUCAGCCCUUGGCCCUUCGCCCAAUGGGGACUUGAUUUGAUCGACCCAAUGCCUACAGGGAAGGGCAAAGUUCACUAUGCAAUCGUUGCAGUUGAUUACUUCACAAAGUGGGCUGAAGUAGAACCCUUGGCAACCAUUACUGAGGCAAAAAUAGAAGACUUCAUAUGGAAGAACAUCCUUUGCAGAUUUGGCAUUCCCAAUGCGAUAGUCACUGACAACGGGCGAUAAUUCGACAAUAAUAAGUUCAGGAUGUUCUGCACUAAGUUCAAUAUCAACUUAUGUUUUGCCUCCCCAACUCAUCCUCAGUCUAAUGGACAAGUUGAAGCUAUCAACAAAAUAAUCAAGCGAACUUUGAAAACCAGCUUAGACAAGGCUAAAGGUUGUUGGCUAAAAUUUAUACCCUAAGUUCUUUGGUCAUACCGCACUUCGUAUCGGACAUCAACAGGAGAAACCCCAUUCUCAUUUGCCUUUGGUACAGAGACAGUUGUCCCAGUUGAGCUUGAGCAAGCAACGUUCCGAGUCCAGAACUACGUGCAAAGCGAAAAUGACAAACAACUUACCCUCAACUUAGAUCUAGUCGAGGAACACAGAAACCAGGCUCACUUGAGGAAUGUCGCCUACAAGCAGCGCAUCUCCAACUACUAUGACUCAAGGGUCAAACCUCGUUCUUUCAAAGUGGGGGACUGGGUAUUGAAGAAAGAUUCUGCGACUCUCGCGAAGAGUCCCAAGUGAAGGAACACUUAGUCCAAACUGGGAUGGACCGUUUGAAGUUGUUGGCAUCAGUCACCCUUGCUCCUACAAGCUUAGAAGCUCUGAUGGCAAGACCCUUGGCCAUCCAAAGAACACUGAUCACUUGAAGUACUAUUACAAGUAAACUCACAUUGUACAAGUGUUAAGCUUCAGCCGUUCGGCAUCCUAUGUAACGAAGACUAUUUAGCAUGAAUUCAAUAAAGAGUGAUUUAGACAACUCGGUCCUAAUCCUCUUACAUUCCUAGCAAUGAAACACUCGGGUUCAAAGCUUCAACAUGAAUGCUUCCAACAUGAAACAAAGUCUAAGUAUAUGUCAACAAGACUAUACAAAUAAACGAACAGCUUCACAGUAUAUUCGUUCAAUCAUACAUUCCAACAUAUUCAUACAUAAGCCAACUGUGCUUUGAAAGGGUUCAACAUACUUUGUGUCAUUCGACACUUGCUACAAUGUGCCUAUACACCUUGCCCUUAUUCUCACCAACCAGAUGAUGAAAUGUACAACCCGUACUCUAAUAUCAUUUGGCAACUUGCCACUCAUGCCACCAACCAGGUGAUGAAAUGUACAACCCGUACUCUCCUUCAUGCCACCAACCAAGUGAUGAAAUGUACAACCCGUACUCUAAUAUCAUUUGGCAACUUGUCAUUCAUACCACCAACCAAGUGAUGAAAUGUACAACCCGUACUCUAAUAUCAUUUGGCAACUAGCCAUUCAUGCCACCAACCAGGUGAUGAAAUGUACAACCCGUACUCUCCUUCAUGCCACCAACCAAGUGAUGAAAUGUACAACCCGUACUCUAAUAUCAUUUGACAACUUUCCAUUCAUGCCACCAACCAGGUGAUGAAAUGUACAACCCGUACUCUAAUAUCAUUUGGCAACUUGCCACUCAUGCCACCAACCAGGUGAAGAAGAAAUUCAUCUUCAUGCCACCAACCAGGUGAUGAAAUGUACAAACUCGUACUCUCCUUCAUGCCAUCAACUAGGUGAUGAAAUGUACAACCGAUACUCUAUAUUAUUUGGCAACUUGCCACUCAUGCCACCAUCCAGGUGAUGAAGGAACAAAUCUUCAUGCCACCAACCAGGUGUGAAGAAGGAUAACUCAUUCUCUCCUUCAUGCCACCAACCAGGUGAUAAAAUGAAUGUAACCCGUACUCUCCUUUUCAUGCCACCAACCAGGUGAUGAAAUGUACAACCCGUACUCUAAUAUCAUGUGGCAACUUGCCAUUCAUGCCACCAACCAGGUGAUGAAAUGUACAACCCGUACUGUAAUAUCAUUUGGCAACUUGCCACUCAUACCACCAACCAGGUGAAGAAGGAACUCAUCUUCAUGCCACCAACCAGGUGAUGAAAUGUACAACCUGUACUCUCUUUCAUGUCACCAACUAGGUGAUGAAAUGUACAACCGGUACUCUAUAUCAUUUGGUAACUUGCCACUCAUACCACCACCAGGUGAAGAAGGAACAAAUCUUCAUGCCACCAACCAGGUGAUGAAAUGUACAACAUGUACUCUCCUUCAUGCCAUCAACCGGGUGAUGAAAUGUACAACCCGUACUCUAAUAUCAUUUGGAAACUUACCAUUCAUGCCACCAACCAAGGGAAUAAGUAACUCACCUUCGUACCACCAACCAAGUGAUGAAAGCAACUCACCAUUCAUUCCACCUACUAGAAGACGAGUGGUACAACUUGUACAUGUGAACUCCUAGCAUUCACAAAUAAUCAAAAAACCCCCAAGCUUGACAACUCAAUUAGGGGAGCACUUAUGCCCAACAAGAGUUAUAGUCACCAACAAAGUCUUAUUGCAAGCCAACAACAACUUCAGUGCAUGGCAUACGAAGAUCAAGCUAUUCAGCUCUCUUGCAUCUGAUUCAAACAUUUCCCCUCUGUAACAAUGCAAACACUACAACUUGUAGAAAGCUUCACACACUCUUGAUCAAGACAGUGUGAAGAAAAACCAAUUUAUAGUGCCAACAAGAGGUUCAUCAAUCAUGGAGGACAACAACAAAUUCUCAAAAGCUUCACACUAUCUUGAUCAAGAUAGUGUGAAGCAAAAUCAAUUCAUGGUACCUAACAAAAGCUUCACCAACAAAAGCUUCAACUCCAAAGCUUCACCUACAAAGCUUCAACUCUAAAGUUUCACCUACAAAGCUUCAACUCCAAAGCUUCACCAACAAAAGCUCAUCAUCAAUGGAGACAACAACAAAUUCUCAAAAGCAUCACACUAUCUUGAUCAAGAUAGUGUGAAGCAANNNNNNNNNNNNNNNNNNNNNNNNNNNNNNNNNNNNNNNNNNNNNNNNNNNNNNNNNNNNNNNNNNNNNNNNNNNNNNNNNNNNNNNNNNNNNNNNNNNNNNNNNNNNNNNNNNNNNNNNNNNNNNNNNNNNNNNNNNNNNNNNNNNNNNNNNNNNNNNNNNNNNNNNNNNNNNNNNNNNNNNNNNNNNNNNNNNNNNNNNNNNNNNNNNNNNNNNNNNNNNNNNNNNNNNNNNNNNNNNNNNNNNNNNNNNNNNNNNNNNNNNNNNNNNNNNNNNNNNNNNNNNNNNNNNNNNNNNNNNNNNNNNNNNNNNNNNNNNNNNNNNNNNNNNNNNNNNNNNNNNNNNNNNNNNNNNNNNNNNNNNNNNNNNNNNNNNNNNNNNNNNNNNNNNNNNNNNNNNNNNNNNNNNNNNNNNNNNNNNNNNNNNNNNNNNNNNNNNNNNNNNNNNNNNNNNNNNNNNNNNNNNNNNNNNNNNNNNNNNNNNNNNNNNNNNNNNNNNNNUGAUGUAGUCGACGACGGGUUCCUCAUUCCACUGUUUCGUACUGGUCAGCUCCAGCAUGCUUACGGUGCGGCGCGUGCUGUAGAAGCGGUUGAGGAAUUCCUUUUCUAGCUGAUCCCAACUGUUGAUAGACUCGGGCUCGAGGUCGGUGUACCAGUCAAAGGCGUUGCUUUUCAGCGAGCGCACGAACUGCUUGACGAGGUAGUCUCCCUCUGUUCCAGCAUUGCUGCAGGUUUCAAUGAAGUGGGCGAUAUGUUGCUUCGGGUUCCCCUUUCCAUCAAACUGCAUAAACUUUGGUGGUUGAUAACCCCUCGGCAUCUUCAAAGCGUCAAUCUUCUUAGAGUAGGGCUUUGAGUAUAGUACGGAAUCAUGUGAUCUUCCUUCAUACUGCGCCUUGAUGGUGUUGACGAUCAUCUCAUGCAGCUGCUAGAUAGAGAGAGACCCCAUGAGUGUCGCCGCUUUGGUCUGGCUUCAGCGUCUCUUCGACGUUCUCCAAUGGAGGUUCCUCAUCCUCGUCGUUUUCCUUCUUUACUGGAUUAUCCCCUUGCCUGACUUUCUCAUCGAGCUUUGCAUCUAGUUGGUUAACGAGUGCUGCGAUUUGCAGGUCUUUUUCCUCCACAGUCCUUGUGAGCUUUGCGAUUGCUUCAUUCAUCUGAGCCAGCUGCUCCUCAAUUGAAGUUGUUCCAGUAACCAUGACUUGCAUAGCUAUGCCGCUGCUUGAGUCGGCAUCGGAAAGUAAGGAUUCAGAGUACUUCCUCUGGCUUUCCUCUCUUGGCGCCCUAAGCGAGGCCAGGGUGAUCACCGGUUCGAACCUCGGGUGCUCUUGUGCCUUCGGCGGAGUUGAUGAAGGGGCGAAAGAGGCGGCGGAAAGAGCUUUUGCCUUGCUUCGAGUUAUGAUGCCUGAAGUGAUGCCCCCUGCCGUGAUGACGCUUUUGUUUCUUGCAUCGGCAGUGGGAACAACUCGGGCCUUCUUUGACGCCAUUUGUGCUUGUUGCGGAUUCACAGAUAGAGAUGAGAGGUAGAGACUGUCCCACUGGGCGUGCCAAAUUUGUAAACACGGAAUUCCUGCAAUGAAUGAGACAAGAACACGUGUACAAAAUAAUAUUUGUAUUAAUGAUUUAGGGGUUACAAUCUCUUCUACCAAUUUAUCCUCUGAUUCUAUCUUUGAAACGUGUAGAUGUAGUGUUGUUGAUCCAAGGGCCGUCGAGGCUUGAUCUUGGACGAACAAUUGAUGAAUGAUGAACACCUUCUCCAAGGGCCGUCGGGGCUUGAUCUUGAAUGGGUGGAAGUUCUUCAAGGGGUGUUGGGGCUUGAUCUUGAAGGAGGAUUUCACGAAGAACAAAGAGGGCUUUCUUGAUCCUUCGGGAUUUGCUUGAGAGCUUCAAAGUUUCGAGGCUUCAAGGCUUUGGUGUGGUGUGACUUCUCUUCCAAUUUGGGAGUAGAGAAAGUGUAUGUAAAAAUCAUCCCCUGAUUCUUUGAUGGAGGGGCCUAUUUAUAGGCAUUGGGAAUGAAUCACCACCAUCCAUUUGUUUUGGUGGAUGUUGUAGGUGAAUUUUUGGUGGGUGUUGUAGGUGAAUUUUGGUGGGUGUUGUAGGUGAAACUUGGGUGUAUGUUGUAGGUGAAGUGAAUGAAGGUUGUAAUUUUAAUACAAUGGUCAACAUUUAUUACACUAAAAUUUUAAUGUUUUACAAAUGUGAUCUUAAUGCAAUGGCUAACAUUUAUGCCAUCGAAAUUUCAAUGUCUACAAACACAUCACCAACUUAUCUGAAACUUUCACCAUUCUGAAGAGGUAUCGAAUGAGGCUGAACCCUAACAAAUGUGCCUUCGGCGUAUGCUCUGGCAAAUUCUUAGGCUUCAUGAUAAGCCAACGAGGCUUUAAGGCUAAUCUCAAGAAGAUCAAAGCAAUCCUCGACAUGAAGGAACCGGUAACUUCAAAGGACAUCCAAAUCAUUACUGGCAAGGUGGCAGCCUUAACUAGGUUCAUCUCUAAGGCCAUAGACAGAUGUGCUUCUUUCUUCAGAGCACUUAAGGGAAGUAAGAAGUACAUUACAUAGACUGAUGAUUGUGCUGAGGCAUUCAAGAACCUCAAGACUACAUGAGUAAAGCCCAUCUGCUCUCCAAACCUGAGGUUGGUGACACUCUCAUUAUCUAUCUAUCUGUCGGUAUCGGCUUCAGCAGUAAGUUCCGUUCUCAUUCGAAAGGAUGGUAAUGUUGAAUGGCCUGUCUACUACGCUAGUAAAACCUUACAAGAUACGGAGACACGAUACUCCAACAUCGAGAAAUUGGCUCUCGCAUUGGUCAUGUCUGCUCGAAAACUUCGCCCUUACUUCCAAGCACACUUCAUCAUCGUGCUUACCAAUCAUCCUCUUCAACAGAUACUCCAAAGUCCUGACACUUCCGGGCGAAUGAUCAAAUGGGCAAUAGCAUUGGGUGAGUUUGACAUCUCAUACCAACCAAAGCCAGCUGAGAAGGGCCAAGCAGUGGCAGACUUCAUCGUCGACUUCACAUAUCCUGUUGACAUUGUUUCUACGCCUAAAGAAGUGGUUUCAUUACCCUCGGAAGCUCAGAAAACAGAACCAACAGCCCCAGCAUGGAGCCUAUAUGUUAAUGGCUCGUCCAACCAACAGGGUUGUGGAGCAGGACUAGUCUUUACGACCCCUAACAAAGUGGCAAUAAAGUAUGCUCUUCGUUUCAAAUUCAAGGCGUCGAACAAUGAGGUCGAAUAUGAAGCCCUCCUAGCAGGCUUACAUUUGGCCAAACAUCUUAGGGUUAAACGAAUUGACAUUUUCAGUGACUCCCAAUUAGUGGUUAACCAGGCCACCAACAACUUUGACGCUAAGGAUAGUUCCAUGGCAGCAUAUCUGGCACAAACACAAUUGUUGCUCAAGCACUUUCACUACCAGAUCACCCAAAUUCCUCGAGCGGCAAAACAGUUAUGCAGAUGCUUUGGCUCGCCUUGCCUCAGCGGUGGAAGACAAGAUUGGGAGAAAAAUUCAGGUCGAAUUGUUGGCAGCACCAAGCACCAUGGCUGCGGAAGUAUGCAACUUACAACAGGGGGAUAGUUGGAUUACCCCGAUUUAUAGAAUCCUUACUUAUGGCACCCUUCCAAAUGACAAAGUCCAAGCUAAGCAAAUUCGAUACAAGGCUACCCGUUACUUGAUCAUUAAUGACCAACUCUACAAGCGGGGUUUUAACCUACCAUACCUAAGAUGCCUUACGCCCGUAGAGGCGGAAACUGUCCUUCGGGGAAUACGUGAAGGAGUCUGCGGAGAUCAUGCUAGAUCUUGAUCCCUAGCACACAAGGCUUUUCGCCAAGGAUAUUACUGGCCAACACUCCACCAAGAUGCCAUCAGAAUAUCCCGCUCAUGUGAUAAGUGUCAAUGCUACGCAACUAUUCCUCACUCCCUUCCCGAGCCGCUCACUCCUAUGAUCAGCCCUUGGCCCUUCGCCCAAUGGGGACUUGAUUUGAUCGACCCAAUGCCUACAGGGAAGGGCAAAGUUCACUAUGCAAUCGUUGCAGUUGAUUACUUCACAAAGUGGGCUGAAGUAGAACCCUUGGCAACCAUUACUGAGGCAAAAAUAGAAGACUUCAUAUGGAAGAACAUCCUUUGCAGAUUUGGCAUUCCCAAUGCGAUAGUCACUGACAACGGGCGAUAAUUCGACAAUAAUAAGUUCAGGAUGUUCUGCACUAAGUUCAAUAUCAACUUAUGUUUUGCCUCCCCAACUCAUCCUCAGUCUAAUGGACAAGUUGAAGCUAUCAACAAAAUAAUCAAGCGAACUUUGAAAACCAGCUUAGACAAGGCUAAAGGUUGUUGGCUAAAAUUUAUACCCUAAGUUCUUUGGUCAUACCGCACUUCGUAUCGGACAUCAACAGGAGAAACCCCAUUCUCAUUUGCCUUUGGUACAGAGACAGUUGUCCCAGUUGAGCUUGAGCAAGCAACGUUCCGAGUCCAGAACUACGUGCAAAGCGAAAAUGACAAACAACUUACCCUCAACUUAGAUCUAGUCGAGGAACACAGAAACCAGGCUCACUUGAGGAAUGUCGCCUACAAGCAGCGCAUCUCCAACUACUAUGACUCAAGGGUCAAACCUCGUUCUUUCAAAGUGGGGGACUGGGUAUUGAAGAAAAGAUUACUCUGCGACAGAGUCCCAAGUGAAGGAACACUUAGUCCAAACUGGGAUGGACCGUUUGAAGUUGUUGGCAUCAGUCACCCUUGCUCCUACAAGCUUAGAAGCUCUGAUGGCAAGACCCUUGGCCAUCCAAAGAACACUGAUCACUUGAAGUACUAUUACAAGUAAACUCACAUUGUACAAGUGUUAAGCUUCAGCCGUUCGGCAUCCUAUGUAACGAAGACUAUUUAGCAUGAAUUCAAUAAAGAGUGAUUUAGACAACUCGGUCCUAAUCCUCUUACAUUCCUAGCAAUGAAACACUCGGGUUCAAAGCUUCAACAUGAAUGCUUCCAACAUGAAACAAAGUCUAAGUAUAUGUCAACAAGACUAUACAAAUAAACGAACAGCUUCACAGUAUAUUCGUUCAAUCAUACAUUCCAACAUAUUCAUACAUAAGCCAACUGUGCUUUGAAAGGGUUCAACAUACUUUGUGUCAUUCGACACUUGCUACAAUGUGCCUAUACACCUUGCCCUUAUUCUCACCAACCAGAUGAUGAAAUGUACAACCCGUACUCUAAUAUCAUUUGGCAACUUGCCACUCAUGCCACCAACCAGGUGAUGAAAUGUACAACCCGUACUCUCCUUCAUGCCACCAACCAAGUGAUGAAAUGUACAACCCGUACUCUAAUAUCAUUUGGCAACUUGUCAUUCAUACCACCAACCAAGUGAUGAAAUGUACAACCCGUACUCUAAUAUCAUUUGGCAACUAGCCAUUCAUGCCACCAACCAGGUGAUGAAAUGUACAACCCGUACUCUCCUUCAUGCCACCAACCAAGUGAUGAAAUGUACAACCCGUACUCUAAUAUCAUUUGACAACUUUCCAUUCAUGCCACCAACCAGGUGAUGAAAUGUACAACCCGUACUCUAAUAUCAUUUGGCAACUUGCCACUCAUGCCACCAACCAGGUGAAGAAGAAAUUCAUCUUCAUGCCACCAACCAGGUGAUGAAAUGUACAACUCGUACUCUCCUUCAUGCCAUCAACUAGGUGAUGAAAUGUACAACCGAUACUCUAUAUUAUUUGGCAACUUGCCACUCAUGCCACCAUCCAGGUGAUGAAGGAACAAAUCUUCAUGCCACCAACCAGGUGAAGAAGGAACUCAUCUUCAUGCCACCAACCAGGUGAUAAAAUGUAUAACCCGUACUCUCCUUCAUGCCACCAACCAGGUGAUGAAAUGUACAACCCGUACUCUAAUAUCAUGUGGCAACUUGCCAUUCAUGCCACCAACCAGGUGAUGAAAUGUACAACCCGUACUGUAAUAUCAUUUGGCAACUUGCCACUCAUACCACCAACCAGGUGAAGAAGGAACUCAUCUUCAUGCCACCAACCAGGUGAUGAAAUGUACAACCUGUACUCUCUUUCAUGUCACCAACUAGGUGAUGAAAUGUACAACCGGUACUCUAUAUCAUUUGGUAACUUGCCACUCAUACCACCAACCAGGUGAAGAAGGAACAAAUCUUCAUGCCACCAACCAGGUGAUGAAAUGUACAACAUGUACUCUCCUUCAUGCCAUCAACCGGGUGAUGAAAUGUACAACCCGUACUCUAAUAUCAUUUGGAAACUUACCAUUCAUGCCACCAACCAAGGGAAUAAGUAACUCACCUUCGUACCACCAACCAAGUGAUGAAAGCAACUCACCAUUCAUUCCACCUACUAGAAGACGAGUGGUACAACUUGUACAUGUGAACUCCUAGCAUUCACAAAUAAUCAAAAAACCCCAAGCUUGACAACUCAAUUAGGGGAGCACUUAUGCCCAACAAGAGUUAUAGUCACCAACAAAGUCUUAUUGCAAGCCAACAACAACUUCAGUGCAUGGCAUACGAAGAUCAAGCUAUUCAGCUCUCUUGCAUCUGAUUCAAACAUUUCCCCUCUGUAACAAUGCAAACACUACAACUUGUAGAAAGCUUCACACACUCUUGAUCAAGACAGUGUGAAGAAAAACCAAUUUAUAGUGCCAACAAGAGGUUCAUCAAUGGAGGACAACAACAAAUUCUCAAAAGCUUCACACUAUCUUGAUCAAGAUAGUGUGAAGCAAAAUCAAUUCAUGGUACCUAACAAAAGCUUCACCAACAAAAGCUUCAACUCCAAAGCUUCACCUACAAAGCUUCAACUCUAAAGUUUCACCUACAAAGCUUCAACUCCAAAGCUUCACCAACAAAAGCUUCAUCAAUGGAGGACAACAACAAAUUCUCAAAAGCAUCACACUAUCUUGAUCAAGAUAGUGUGAAGCAAAAUCAAUUCAUGGUACCCAACAAAAGCUUCACCAACAAAAGCUUCAACUCCAAAGCUUCACCUACAAAGCUUCAACUCCAAAGCUUCACCAACAAAAGCUUCAUCAAUGGAGGACAACUACAAAUUCUCAAAAGCUUCACACUAUCUUGAUCAAGAUAGUGUGAAGCAAAAUCAAUUCAUGGUACCCAACAAAAGCUUCAACUCCAAAGCUUCACCUACAAAGCUUCAACUACAAAAGCUUGACCCACAAAAGCUUCACCUACAAAAGCUUGACCCACAAAAGCUUCACCAAUAAAACUUCAACACAAAAGCUUCACCUACAAAAGCUUCACACUAUCUUGAUCAAGAUAGUGUGAAGCAAAAUCAAUUCAUGGUGCCCAACAAAGCUUGACUUACAAAAGCUUCACCCACAAAAGCUUCACCCAUAAAAGCUUGACCCACAAAAGCUUGACCCACAAAAGCUUCACACUAUCUUGAUCAAGAUAGUGUAAAGCAAAAUCAAUUCAUGGUGCCCAACAAAGCUUCAACCUCAAAGCUUCACCUACAAAACUUCAACACCAAAGCUCAAAGCUUUAAUAUAUAUAUAUAUAUAUAUAUAUAUAUUUAAAUUUUAUUUUUUUUUGAAAUUUCAAAAAUUCAAAAAUUUGGAAAUUCAAAAAAUCGAAGAAAAAAAAUUGAAAAAAAAAUUGAAAAAAAAAAAAAUUGCCUAGGCCUCCUCUUCUUUGGGCCUAACAACUUUCAUAACAAAUAUAUAUGAAGAAGGAGUUUUGGGCUACCACUUAGAAAGAAAAUGCCUCAUUCGUCAACUUCCUCGACCAGAGACUUGGAGGACUCCUACAAUAUGCUACUGCACCUUGAUACUCGGAAGUCUCACGACCACUCAGUGACUUGGAUUUUUCAAGUCUCCAAACGAGAAGUUUUCCUCACUCGGGAAAUUAAGGGAGCACUACCUCAACCUACAUGCUUCACUCACAAAGCUUCAACAUACAAGCUUCAACAAAAGGAAAAAUUCAAAGAACUUAGUGAAGAAGGCCUUGGUGUAUUUAACACAAUACGUUGAAAUGAAGCAAAGCUUGUUUAUUGAUAUCUCCAAUAAGUUACAAAUAUGUACAUAUACAUGAAUCAAAAUAAACAAACAAGAGGGAGCCUUCACAAAGGUUGCUCAGGAGAAGUCUCAGCAGUCGGCAGAGCCCCAGAAAGAUGAGGCACCAGAGGGUGAUUAUUCGGAGCCUCAGUACUAGGCAAAACCCCAGAAGGAGGAAGCACUGAAGGUUAAUCAUUUGGAGCUUCAUUACGCGGUACAGCCCCAGAAGACGAAGGCAAUAAAUGCCUUUGGAACAAACUCAUAAACUUCUGAUUAUCAAGUAAAAUCUGACCAUCAGAUUCUUGCAGCUGGUCGAGAUUCCUCUUCAUGUUUGUAGCAUAGUCAUGUGCGAGCCUGUGUAACUGUUUAUUCUCAUGCUUGAGCCCUCUGAUCUCCUGUUUGAGACUUAUCACUUCAACCGCCAAUGAUUCAACUUGGCGGGUUCGAGCAAAUAGACGUUGGGCCAUAUUAGACACAGAACCUGUACACUAAACACUGAGAGCCAGAGAAUCCUUAACAGCCAACUCAUCAGACUGUUUGGAAAGUAGUAUGUUAUCUUUGGGAGUGAAAAGGUUCCUGACCACCACCGCAGUGAUCAUAUCAUUCUUCAUCACAGAGUCCCCAAUGGUAAGAAGACCAGUAGGGGAUAAGAAGGAUGAGCGCCAUAUGUUGUCUUGAGAAGGCAUGUUUGCUUUUUCACCAAAGUUCAAGUCAAAACGACGGUCGGAUGGGCCAAACAUUCUUAGAAAUGAUGAAAGAGAAAUGAAGUGCAAUAAAUCUCUGAAAUAAGGGGAAAAUUCCUACAAGCAAUAACUCUCUGAAUGUACUCUUUGCACACAAUUGAUGCCCUUAUAAAAGAAAGGGCAACAUGAUGUUGGUUCAAAAAUCGAAGAAGCACCACUCUCUGGAUUCCGAAGAGGCACUACUCUCCGCAUUUCGAAGAGGCACCACUUUCCACACGCAACAUCAGCUCCUCGGGUACCACAGAUAACUUUGCCAAAGAUCUCUGACAAAGUUUAGACACAUAAAUUUUGAAGGUCCAACUACCCUACUAUUACCCACAAGGGUAAAGGAAAAGCACCACUGCUUGAUAACUAGAAAGUCCCAAUGUGUGUCAACCUCCAUGCUUCGUGGCAAGGCAGACUGGUAAAAAUGCCCAACCUUUACUCACAUUCGAGAAAACACUCCCAACAAGAUUGCUUGCUCAAAAAUCGAAGAGGAACCAUUCUCCAAAUCUCAAGAGUCAGACUCCCAACAUGAUUGCUUUCUCAAAAAUCGAAGAGGCACCGUUCUCUGAAUCUCAAAAGCCAGAUCCCCGACAGGAUUGCUUGUUCGAAAAUCGAAGAGGCACCGCUCUCCGAACUUCGAGAGCCAGAUUUCCUUGGGUAAAGCUUGUCUGCAAUCUUCACACGCAACAUCAGCUUUCCAGAUACCACAGACCACUUUUUCAAAGCGCUCUGACAAAGUUAAAACAUGUGAAGCUUGCAGCUCCCACUACAUUGCUAUGACCAAUAAGGGUAAAUGAAUAGCAUUAUUACUUGCUCAAAAAUCGAAGAGGCACCGCCCUCCGAAUCUUGAAAGCCAGACUCCCAACAUGAUUACUUUCUAAAAAAUCGAAGAGGCACCGCUCUCCAAAUCUCAAGAGCCAGACUCCCAACGGGAUUGCUUUCUCAAAAAUCAAGGAGGCACCGCUUUCCGAAUCUCGAGAGCCAGAUCCCUGACAUGGUUGCUUGUUCGAAAACCGAAGAGGCAUCGCUCUCCAAACUUCAAGAGCCAGAUUUCCUUUGGAUAAAGCUUGUCUGCAAUCUUCACACGCAGCAUCAACUUUCCAGAUACCACAAACCACUUUUUCAAAGUGCUCUGACAAAGUUAAAACACGUGAAACUUGCAGCUCCCAUUACAUUGUUACGACUAAGAAGGGUAAAGAAAUAGCAUUACUACUUGUUGUUAGGGAGACUCCGAUAUAUGUCGACCUCCAUCCUCCACGGACAGGCAGACUUGCAAAAAUGCUCAACCCUUCCUCAUAUCUGAGAGGGCACUCCCAACGAAGCCUCUCGAAAUACUCAGCUUUCUUCCCCCCCCCCAAAUAAUACCUAUGCAAACCAGCCACACCAGAGCAAGAGUAUCUCAUAUCAUCAGGGUUAAAAGCAAGAGUAUCCUAUAUCAUGCUUUUUCCCUGUCUUUUCCUUUGGCCUUGUUCUUACCUGCAAAACAAAGAGAAAGAGAGCAAUCAGUCAGCACUUGGAAUCAAGCUUCCAGUAAUGAACUAACUGCCUAGAACCCCUUACCUGAUUACUUACCUGGCAUUGCUCUUAAGUACUCAUCUUCAACAUCUUAUGCUUCCAGAGAAGAUACCACAUCUACCUUUGGAACAGAUAGGGCAAGUGAGAAGGAUACAAGGAAGCAUCUGGAGACAAGCGUAACAGAACACGUGCCGAUACAUCCACUACUUUGUCAAGAGCAAAAGUAUCCCAUAUCAUCAGGGUCGAACGUACUCUAGAUUUGAUGGACUUGUUUUGACCCUCAAAUUCUUGAGUCGGUCUUAUACUCUGGAGGAAACCAGAAAACCCUCCAGCCCAGUUCAAGAAUAAGCCUGUGGAAAGUUACUUCUUCAAAAGCAAAAGUAUCUCAUAUCAUCUCUUCUCCAUUUGCUUCUCCUUAUCCUUGUUGCUGUUUACGACACAAGGAGAAGGAGAACAAUCAACCGGAAGCCGAAGUCGAACCUCCGAUCCAGGUUGCUUGCUUGGAAGUCUAAUUGCUUACCUUGUCUGUUACCUCUUUCGACAAAUCUCCUAGCUCAGCGACUUGGGGGAUUCCUACUAUAGGGUUUUGUAUCGCACUUGACCAAGCCCGAAACUACAAGUAAGCUUCAAGUGAAAUUGAUACAUUACCUUGUGCAUCUUCACCAGUUAAAGAUACCACCCCUGGAUGGAGGAAAAGUACUUCCAGAGAAGAUGUCACAUCUACAUAUGAGACAGAUAAGGCAAGUGAAAAUGAUACCACACUUCGGUACUUAGAAGUUUCGUGAUUACUCAAUGGCUUGGAUCUUGCAAGUCCCCAACCGAGGAGCUUCCCUCACUUGGGAACUUAGGGGAGCAUUGUUUGUACCAUACUUGACCAAUCCCGAAACUACUAAGCACUGGUCAACGUUAUACCGUCAAUGACCCAUAAGAGUUUCCCUCUAACCAGGAGGCCAAUCAUAGCACGACACGUGUCAACAUCAGAAGCCAAUCACAAUACGACACGAGUCAAUAUCAGAAUAAAACUAGAAACUUUCUUCUAUAAAUAGAGAUCAUUCUUUCACAAUAUGGCCUAAUGUCAUUUGUACUAAAUUAUUCACUUGUACUCACUAAAGGAGAGCUUGAACCUAUGUACUUGUGUAAACCCUUCACAAUUAAUGAGGACUCCUCUACUGUGUGGACGUAGCCAAUCUGGGUGAACCACGUACAUCUUGUGUUUGCUUCCCUAUCUCUAUCCAUUUACAUACUUAUUCAUACUAGUGACCGGAGCAAUCUAGUAAAGGUCACAAACUUAACGCUUUCUGUUGUACCAAAGUCCUCAUUGAUUUUGUGCAUCAAUAAAAGCGAUUACGCUUGAGGAGAACGUGAGAGGAGGUGGACGGUUUUUUCUCUUUUUUUCCUAUUUUGCCCUCACUUUUCAUACACACUAUUGACAAAAAGGAGGGCAAAAUAGGAAGAAAAAAAUGGGAAAAUUUUUUACAAGGAAGCUUCUCUUAAUAAUAGUAUAGAAAAAAAAUAUACACUUAUUAAGAGAAAUUAUUCACACACACUUGUGCUCUCUGCUAGUAGACUUAAUAGUAGUCGACGAAAUAUCCAAAGUCUUUGCUUAUACUUUUCCAAACAACAAGUAGAGAUUGUGUUGUUAACUUGUUAUAUAGUCUUUUGGAAAAUGCUAGGUAGAAACGUCUCACCACUAACAAGUAGCAACCAACCCAUCAAAUGGUAUCGAGGUAUGAGUUGGUAUACGUCAUUUUAACAAGCAUGUCUCUUUACAACGUGAUUUUUUAGGUAAGAUGAUGAUAAUGCGCACACGGAUUUUUGUUAGCAUUGAUGCAUUUUGUGAUUUACAUGUAUUAUUGAUUUUAAGUGCUAUAGGCGAAUGAUUCUAAGUGCACAUAGAUGACUGACAUGCCCUAUUCUUAUAAGGUACUUGAACAAAUUAAUACUUAAUAUACUUGGCCAUCCUUAUAUAAUAUAGUUUGGCUACAAUAAUGUUAGGGGAUAUCCUCAAUCAGUUGAGGUUUUGAGCUUCUGCCUAGCUAAGUUUAUGUUAACAUGGUGUAUAAUGUAUAUAACCAAAAAGCGCAUUGUCUUGAUAGAAUUUAUGUUCAUCUAUUUUGAAAUGGAAGUAAAAUAAAGCCAACAAGUUACAAGAAAACCCGCAUUUGACUAAAAUUUAUGAUUAGACUUCUACUAGUUAAGAUCUAUAAAAAUUAGUGAUAAUUAUGUGAUUCAUGAAUGGGAGACACAAUAUAUUGGGUGAUGCUAUCCAUACGCACUCCAUUUUACUUUUCCUUAGCCGUUAGGUUGAACGAAUUGAAAAAAUCAAAAGACCAAAAUUGACAGAGGUCUAGGCAUCACCCUAUAUAUUAUACAACAAUAUGAACCAUUAUUUUUUAAUGUGAAACAUUUUAAACCAUGAAUCUACUCUCAAAAACACAUUAGUAUAAAUAAUUAAACGAAAGAAGUGGAAAAUAUACUUUCCAUAUCCAUUUUGAGUAGUGUUCUGAGAGACAAAUGGCCACAAAUAUUUUUUGUAAUCUUUUGGGAGCUUGAGGUUUCCAAAUUCAAAUUCAAGAGGUUGGGUUAGGCUCACCGGAUGACGUCAAGAUUAGAUUUCAACGUCGUGAUCAUGGAGACGGUAACUCAUUCGACGGGGCAAGUGGAAUUUUGGACCAUGCUUUUGCUCCCACGGAUGGAAGGCUGCACUUGGAUGCAGAUGAACGAACUUGAUCUAGUUUGAGGCCUCCAAGUAAGAACAAACGUGAUCCGGUUUAGGUGGCUCCGCACGGAAGGACUGGGAUCACCUCCGAUUCCCAAUCUGCAGAGCCAGCUGACCACAAGAUCUCAUCCUUCCAUUUUUAUCCUGUGGCCAGGAAUAAUGAAAAAUUCUAAAGCAAAACAAGGCAAGAUGAAAAUGGAAGGCUGGGAUCUUGUGAUCAGCUAGCUCCGCAAGUUAGGAUCCAGAGGUGAUCCCAAUCCGUCAUGAUAGAAAUGGCCCUUCAUGACUUUAGUUGUGAAGAUAAACAUAAAUAAUAAAAAAUUAUUAGGUGUCUGGUAAAUUUGUUUUAUAAAAGUACUUUUAACUAAAAAAACAAUGUCUAAUAAAAUUGCUAUGAGCAUCUUAAAUGACUAAAACUGAUCACCCUGCUUUAAAUAAAAAAAUUUUAAAAAAAAGAGGUUUUUUUAGAUAGUAGACUCUGCUUCCGCAUUUCUAUGCUUUUCACAUUUGAUGUUCUAAAUUUUUUAAUAAUUUUUUUUUUUUUAAAGCAUCACAACUCCAAACCAACUUGUAAUCACUUCAGGCAUUGGGAAUCGGAGGAUGUGCACCAUCAGUUCGGAAAUUUUCCUUGAGCAUCUCUGCAGGUAAGUUGUCUCCGAUUUCUUUGAAUAAAAAUUCAGGCAACGGGGAGUGGAAGCACACCUUCGAAGCUGUCAAACUCGUUAGGAGUUUUAUCGAACAAGGCUUCGAGCUCCGGUCUAAUGAAUUGGGCUAUAAGUUCAGUGCAUGUGCUAGGACGUCUGACAUCUUCCGGUGUCCAAAUUCUGAACAAAUUAAUACUUAAUAUACUCGACCAUCCUUAUAUAAUAUACUUGACAUGAGGAGGGUAAAAUAGUAAUUUUGUAUCUUUUGAAUUUUUCCCCUUUUCUUCUAAUUUUGCCCUCACUUUUGAAUACACAAUGUUGACAUGAGGAGGGCAAAAUAGUAAUUUUAUAUCUUUUGAACUUUUUCCUCUUUUUUCCUAUUUUGCCCUCACUUUUGAUACACAAUAUCUACAUAAAGAGGGCAAAAUAGUAAUUUUAUAUCGAAAUAUUUACAUAAGAUAAAAAUUAUGCACUUAUUAAGAAAAAUUGUCCCACCAUCAUUUUUUCAUACACAUCAUGAUGUUUUUUGGAUAGUUUGAAUGAACUGAAAUGGUUGCGCUUGAGGAGAACGUGGGAGGAGAUGGGCAGUUUUUCCCCUUUUUUUCCUAUUUUGCCCUUACUUUUCAUACACACUAUUGACAAAAAGGAGGGCAAAAUAGGAAGAAAAAAAGGGGGGGGGGGGGAAGUUGACCAUGAGGCAUCUCUUAAUAAUAGUAUAGAAAAAAAUAUAUACACUUAUUAAGAGAAAUUGUUCACACUCACACUUGUGCUCUAUGUUAGUAGACUUAAUACAAAGGGUAGUCGACAAAAUAUCCAAAGUCUUUGCCACUAGUCUUUAUGCAUAGUGAUUUGCUUGUAUACUUUUCCAUACAACAAAUGGAGAUUGUGUUGUUAACUUGUUAUAUAGUCUUAUGGAAAAUGCUAGGUAGAAACGUCUCACCACUAUCAAGUAACAACCAACCCGUCAAAUGGUAUCGAGGUAUGAGUUGGUAUACGUCAUUUUAACAAGCAUGUGUCUUUACAAUGUGAUUUUUGAGGUAAGAUGAUGAUAAUACGCACACGGAUUUUUGUUAGCAUUGAUGUAUUUUGUGAUUUACAUGUAUUAUUGAUUUGAAGUGCAUAUAGAUGACUGAUUCUAAGUGCACAUAGACGACUGACAUACCCUAUUCUUAUAAGGUAAUUGAACAAAUUAAUACUUAAUAUACUCAACCAUCCUUAUAAUAUAGUUUGGCUACAAUAAUAUUAGGAGAUAUCCUCAAUCAGUUGAGGUUUUGCAAUUUACAUGUGUUAUUGAUUUUAAGUGCAUAUAGACAACUGACUCUAAGUGCACAUAGACGACUGACAUACCCUAUUCUUAUAAGGUACUUGAACAAAUUAAUACUUAAUAUACUCGACCAUCCUUAUAUAAUAUAGUUUGGCUACAAUAAUAUUAGGGGAUAUCCUCAAUCAGUUGAGGUUUUGAGCUUCUGCCUAGCUAAGUUUAUGUUAACAUGGUGUAUAAUGUAUUUACCCAAAAAGCACAUUGUCUUCAUAGAAUUUAUGUUCAUCUGUUUUCAAAUGGAAGUAAAAUAAAGCCAACAAGUUACAAGAAAAAAUUAUGAUUAAAUUUCUACUAGUUAAGAUCUAUAAAAAUUAGUGAUAAUUAUGUGAUUCAUGAAUAGGAGGCACAAUAAUAUAUUGGGUGAUGCUAUCCAUACACACUCUUAUUUAUUUUUCCUUAGCCGUUAGGUUGAACAAAUUGAAAAAAUCAAAAGACCAAAAUUAACAGAGGUCUAGGCACCACCCUAUAUAUUAUACAACAAUAUGAACCAUUAUUUUUUAAUGUGAAACAUUUUAAACCAUGAAUCUACUCUCAAAAACACAUUAGUAUAAAUAAUUAAACGAAAGAAGUGGAAAAUAUACUUUUCAUAUCCAUUUCGAGUAGCGUUCUGAGAGACAAAUGGCCACAAAUAUUUUUUGUAAUCUUUUGGGAGCUUGAGGUUUCCAAAUUCAAAUUUCAAGAGGUUGGGUUAGGUUCGCCAGAUGACGUGAAGUUUAGCCUUCAACGCCGUGAUCAUGGAGACGGUAUCUCAUUCGACGGGGCAAGUGGGAUUUUGGACCAUGCUUUUGCUCCCACGGAUGGAAGGCUGCACUUAGAUGCAGAUGAACGAACUUCUUCUGGUUUGAGGCCUCCAAGUAAGAACAACUUGAUCUGGUUUGGGUGGCUACGCACGAAAUAGAAAUGGCCCUUCAUGACUUUAGUUGUGAACUAAACAGAUAUAAAAUAAAGUUGUUGAGUGUUUUGUAAACUUGUUUUGUAAAAACAAUUUUAACUAAAAGUACUUUUAACUAAAAACACAGAGUCUGAAUGUUUGAUAAACUUUUAUAUAAAAUUGCUAUGAGCAGUUAAAUGACUAAAACUGAUCACCAUGCUUUCAAAAAAACAAAAAAAAAAAGUUUUUGUUUUAGAAGUAUGGUAAACCCUGCUUUCAUGUUUCUGUGCUUUUCAUAUUUGAUGGUCCAAAUUUUUAAAGCAUCGCAGCUCCAAACCAACCCGUAAUCACCUCAGGCAUUGGGAAUCGGAGGAUGUGCACCAUUAGUUCGGAAAUUUUCCUUGAGCAUCUCGGCAGGUAUGUUGUCCCCGAUUUCUUUGAACAAAAAUUCAGGCAACGGAGUGUUGAAGCACACCUUCGAAGCUGUCAAACUCGUUAGGAGUUUUAUCGAACAAGGCUUCGAGCUCCGGUCUAAUGAAUUGGGCUAUAAUUUCAGUGCAUGUGCCAGGACGUCUGACAUCUUCCAGUGUCCAAAUCGUAACUUACGACAUUGCUGCAUAGAUAACCCUCCUCAUAUUGGUGGUUGAAUUAGAGUUUUAUCUCAACCAAUUAAUGUAUUAUGGAAGCAUUGUACUCGUAGGUAAUUUCCAUUUACUAACCUAGGUAUAAACCAAAGAGAAAUACUUAGUUACUGAUAAAUCUUUUUUUUUUUUUUAACAAACGGGAGGAUAAUCUGCAUUAAAUUUUGGGAACUUUAACGAAAAGCACCCGGUACUGUUUACUUUAACGAAAAACCACAUUUUUACACUAAAAAGUCAAUCCUGAUACUAUUCACUUUACCCUUUAUUUUGUCCUUAUCAUUAAAACUCAAAGUUUUCAAGCCCUUUUCAUUAGUUUUCUAUUAAAUUUUUCUAACUAUGGGGAUGAGAGAAAAUUUAAACUCGAAAAAUAGUGGGUUGAAGAGAAAUGCUCUAUCUACCAAGCAGUCUGCCACUUGCUUGACCAAUCAAUUAGUUAUCUUGUUAUUGAUCACAAUCUGUUCUUUUCAAUAAUAUUACAAAAAAUGCCACGGUAAUCGUACGUAGGUCAUGUUUCUAAGUUGUGUCAUUUCUAAUUUCCUAAUUUAUAACAUAUUGCUGAUCAACAUAAGUGUGUUGUAAUUAAUAUUGUAAUCAAUAACUCGAAGUUCACUUCAUAUUGUAUGGAAUCCGCAGAUCGUAAAACCAUGUAUGGGGGCUAAUGCAUAUCCUGUGUCGGAAGGUCAAGGAAGCUAAUGACCUAAUGACAUGGGAGCCGGCAAUUAAAACUCCAGUGAGAAGCAAUCAUAACUAUAACGGUCCUAAGUCAGAAAAUUUCUUGUCGAAUAAGUUUCAAGUUCCAACACAAUACAAAAGACGUAACGAUUUGUACAUUCUUACGCAGUUCCAACCCAAAGGCCAAAACCCAAUGGUCAAAUGAACCUCACACCUUUCUCAAAUUCUGUAGGCUAGUAGGUGUCCACAUUCCCAAAGGGCUAAAUGGACCAUAUCAAAUCAACCCAAUCAAAAGCCCAAUCAGAUUCCAAACAACCCACAUACAAAUCAAACACGGGUCAGAAAAGACCCAAAUUUCAAAUCGGGUUAGUCUUCUCUGUCUGUCCUCCCCUAAAACCCUAGACUUUCUUUUAUUCUGUUCACAGAAAACGCAAAAGUUUCAAUCUUUGGAAAUCGUAAGGAACCAUGAUGAACGGCGGUCGGCACCAAAACAAAUUCGCAUGGAAGCCAAACCUCGGCGUCAAAAUCAACGAAACCGAGGUCGGAGGCCGGUUCCGGCCGCUGUCGGAGAUAACGGGGGUCUGCCAGCGGUGCAAGGAACAGAUCGAGUGGAAGCGCCGUUACGGGAAGUACAAGACCCUGACGGAGCCCGCCAAGUGCCAACGUUGUACCAAACGCGCCGUCCGUCAGUCCCACCAUAAGCUCUGUGCUGCUUGUGCUAAGGAACAGCGUGUUUGUGCGAAGUGUUGCUGUCGUGUCGAGCAAAUUGUCGGAAAAGAUCUUGCGGAAGUGGAGUCUGAGCAGUGUUGGUAUAUGGUCCAGCCAUGAAUGUUUUAGAUUAUUUUAGUAAGUAAAUGAGAUUGGAAGCAUGCUUGACAAUUCUAGCAUGUUAUUAAGUUGACGGAAGAAGCUAGAGUACUAGCUUCCUUGGUUGCAAAUGGAAAGAUCUGGAAACUACAAUAUUGUGGCUAGUCUAGAUUUUUCUAUGUUAGAGAUUUGAAGAAUACACUAGAAACUAGUAGAAUGUCAAAUCCUCACCUAUAAAUAUGGGUGUGAUGUUGUAGUGAACCAACCAAUUAAGAACCAAGUGUGAGUAGCAAAGGUUCAAGUUCAAAGCUAGAGUUCCAUUCUGAGAGUGAGAGAGAGUUCUACUGCACAUUGUGAGUGAAGUUUAGAAUGAUAGAAAGUGUUUGUCAUACUUUCUUGUAUUCAUUAAGCUUUGUCUUUGGCUUGGUACUCAUCUUUUUUCAUAUAGUGAAGAUUGAUCAUUGUUUCGUAGACGUAGGUAUAAAUUACCGAACCACAUAAAUUUUUUGUGUUCAUUUUUUACUUUAUCUUGUACAUUCUCUAUCUUGUAGUACCAACAUUCCUAACAAGAAGAAGCAGCUUCAAGAGGUUUGAUUUUUUUAAUGUUGUUUUUGUGAAGUUUCCAGUUUUUAACUGGUUUUCGAUUCAAAAAUUGACGGAAAUUGAUGGGUUUGUUUUGUUUUGUGGAAAUUGUAAUGCACAGGCGAUCAAAAAUGCAAGAGAAAAAGAUAGGAGGAGUCUGUUGCGUGCGGUAUGUUCUCGAAUUCGAACACAUUUGUUUGUUCUUGUAUUCGAUUGUGAAUCAAAAGUUGCAUAAUUUGUGAUCUCGGAUUGUACUGUAACAGAUGAAUGCUGGAAAAUCUACGGGUGUAGCGAAAGCUGCAAGCGAGAAAGGAGACAAAGCGGGGGACCUGUUCCCGUCUGUGUCACUCGAAGAAUAUGCAGAGGCAAGCAGAGAUGAUGAGGAUGACGAAGGUGAUGAUGGUGAAGGCGAAGAAGAUGAGGCACUGGUUUGCAAUUAAAAAAGGUACCGAGUAGUAUUUCAGUAGCGAACAUGUUGGUUUGGCCAGUUGGCUAUGAUCGUGUAGUGUGUCCAUCCUUUGCACGCAAGUUUGAAAUCGCUUGCAUCUCUUUGUACUAUCAGCGACAAAUUGGGCAAAGAUAUCCUCGUUUCUUCAACACCAUGAAGAAGGUCUUGAAGAAGUUAACUGAUCAACGUCUUUUUUUUUUCGUGUUUCUUUCGUUGUUUUAGUGGUCCACGCAUAAUUUUGUACAAGUGCUUAUGCACAGAAACUUUGAAAUUUUGUUUGUUUUUAAUUAUCAAUGAAGUAGGUCUUGUUUAAUAUUAUCACAGAUCAAGUUGCAUUGCUUUUGGGGGUUUCUUGGGUUAAAAGCAACCUGCCAAUAAAGUAUGCUAGGCACCUGGGGAAGAUCGAAAGCUCAAUAGAAAAUAAGAGAGAUCCAACUUCACUCUUCAAGUCAACAACUUCGAGAGUGAAUGAAUCCUCAAAUGGUUGUUAUUUCUCCGAGUUGGAAGGAAGAAGAAAGCCAAUCUUACGAAAUGCAGAGGGAAAGCAGUUUUAAGCCAGUCAGAUGCCUUAUUGCGACGAUGCUACACUACUACAAAAGGGCCUUAUAGUGUCAGUAGGUGGCGUCGGCUUAAUUUAAUAUAGUGGCGGAUAAGACAGUUGCGACACUAACUGAAGAUGACGUCGGAUUUACUGUCGCUUAUAAGCGUCAUAAAAUUUCUACGUCGCUUUUAAACCGACGUAAACAUUUAAUGUCGCUUAUAACCGACAUAUAUUUUAAUAAUUUUAAAUAAUAGCGUCGCUUUAAACAAAACAGUGUCGCUUUUUAGCGACAUAAAGUAUUAGUGUCACUUUUAAGAGACACAAAUUAUUGUUUUUAAAUAAUUUAAAGUCUGCGUCGGUUCUGAGUGACAUAGAUUUUAGUUUUUUAAAAUAUUGUAAAACUUAGUGUCGGUUGUAGUGACGGAUUGAGGGUCUUUAUAUACCCUCCCGUGUUCUCUUUCAUCCUCUCUUCCAUUUUUCUUGUUUGUUCUUCCUCUCUUACAAACCCUCCCCCUUGUUCUUUCACUUAGACCUUUCUUAUUUGUUCUUCCAAUUUCGUUUGUUACUUCUUCACAACAGUAAGUGUUUUUUGCUUUUAAUAUUUUUAUUUUCUCCUAUUAUGUUUAAUUUUUAUUUACAAUUUAUUUUUGUAGGGAAUUUAUUUGAGCUGCUUGAGUACAUAAUGAAUUCAUCGACGACGGAAUUCUUCCAUAAUUCAGGUUUCUAUCACUAAAUUCUUUAAUUGUAUAAAACACAAGUUUAUUUAUUUAAAAAUUCUAAUUUAAGUACUUAGAUAAAUUUCUAUUAUUUUUGUUAAAUUAAUUUAUAUUUAGUCGAAUUAAUGAAUUUUGUCACUUGAAUUGUUAUGAGGAAAUGGAAAUGAAUAAUAUUUAUUAGCAUUUAUGUUAAAUUAACAAUAUUAAAUAUAACAUAAACUUAUAAUAUUUAGUAAUAUAAGAAUAUAUUAUGUUAAAUUAAUUUGUUUUGUACUGUAAUUGUUAUUUUAAUUUGUUUAGUUAUUUUAAAUUUGUUUUUGCUGUUAUUUUGAUAACUUUUGGUUGGUAUUUAUUAGAAUGGAUUAGAUAAGCAUAAUUUUGAUAAAUUUUUGUUGUUAUUUUAAUUUGUUUUCACUAUAAUAGAUGUUGAAAAUUAAAAGAUUGCAAUUGUGAUAGAGUUCGAGGGUUGAAAGAUAGAAAUUGAAAAUUCUAAUAGUUAUGCCUACAUGAUAGGGAUUGAAAGGUUGUAGGCAUCUUAGUGUGAACGUACUAUUUUGCCCUCGUAAAGUGGUAAAGCAUGGACAAGAGUUGGUUGACGAUACCUCGAAAUUUUGAAGCGUAUACAGCUGGAAUUAAUUUGUUUUUGGAUCAAGCAGUUGCAAAUGGUGUUGGACCUGAUAAGUUUAGAUGUCUUUGCAAAAGAUGUUGUAAUCGAUACACUUUUGUUAAGAACACUAUUGUUGAACAUCUCAUAUUGUAUGAUAUGGAUAAAGAUUAUAAAAACGCUUGGUGGCGACAUCAUAGCGAGCAAAACAUUGGAGAGCAAAAUAUGGCAAUUGGAGAAGAAGAAACAGGAGAUGAGGUGAUUGGCAUGUAUGAUUUUCUUAAUGAUGUAUUUGUCCAACCAUUAACAGAAGAAUGUGUUGGGCCGUCUACUGAACCCCCCAUUAGGGAAGGGCGUCCAGAAGAGGCGGAGACUUUUUUUAGGUUGCUUGAAGAGGCAGAUCAAGAUUUGUGGCCAGGUUGUAAGCGGUUUAAGAAAUUAGAAGCAGUUGUAAUACUGUAUAAGAUUAAGUGUUUAGCGGGAAUGCCAGAUGAGAUCUUCAUUUUCGGCUUCCAUAUCUCAUAUCCGCAAUCCUUUUUCUCUUUCAACGCCAGUAUCUCCCACGACCAAUUUGUUAUGCCUCACUCCCUGCACACGGAUGUCUCUCAUUUGCAGAUCCAGCUGGAACUUUUGUUGCAGCAGCUGCAUAAUGAAAGUUCCGAAUCAAAAGUACUUCUGAAAUUUUCGGAUCAGGUGCUUCACAUCGCCAUUUCUUUAGACAAACUUGCUGAUAGCAUUAAAAAGAAGCAUCAACCGGACAAAGAUGAAGUAAGCACCGUGGAUGAAGAUUUCACAAAUCCAGAGGAAGGUGAAGCUGAAGCAGAAGAACAGGUUCCAGGUGGCACAAUCUUCACUUCAGGUGAGAUUCGUAUUUACAUUUCACCAAAACAAAACAGGCAGAUUGGGAAGAAAAAUUUUCUUGGGGUAGAAGCAAUAACUCCAUCAAUUGGGUUGGCUUGUGCCCGAAUGGCAACCAAUUUAGACCGGUUUAUGAGUUAUAAGAUCCACGGCACGUGCCGAGAUGAUUCGGAAAUAGCUCAGAAGCUUUUGGUUGAUCAACAGUUGAAAUUUAAAUGGAUCAUUGGUUAUCGAAUGGUUAACAUUUAAUUUGAUUAAUAUUUUUGUUUUAUAUUUAUAAAUUUAUUGAAUCUAACGGUUGAGAUCGAAUAUGAUCAAAUCUAACGGUAAAAAAAAUUUAAUAGCCCAAAUUAAAAAACAAUUAUUUAACUCAAAAUUCAUCAAAAAACUCUAUAAAUAUCUAUGUAUUUGUUCAAACAUCCACACAAAAUUCACUUUUCUCAUACAAUUCUUCCAAUUUGUCUUAAUUGUUACUGUAUUAAUUAUGCUAAUUGAUGUAUUAAUUGUUGUUGUAUUAAUUGCUUUUGUAUGUGUUUUUUUUUUUUGGUCAAACGAUAGAUUUUAUUAGAUUAGAUGUUAGAUUAGUCACCGAUGGGGUUUGAACCCACUUCGUCUUGCAAAGGCUCAAUAUCUUCCCACCACUGUAGUAAAGGGCCACUGACUUUUUGUAUGUGCUUCAUAUGUGUCGGUUUAGUGAUUUUUCAAUAUUUAUCGGAAUUUAAAUAUUUUUAUGUUAAAAUACGAGUUUUUCUCAACUACAACCUAGCUAACUUCUCCAUCAACAUUUGAAAGAGAAGUACCAUAAGACCAAUACCUAAUUGUUUAGAUUACUUCUCAACUACAACCUAGCAUAUAUCAUCAGAUUAAUACAAUUUAUAAGUUCGAGUCCAAGCUUAAUAUAUUAACACUAACGGAUUAAAAACGUUGCUCAAUCAAUCAUCACCUUCCAUUGGGAUCGUUGAUCUCAGAGAAGACAGUCCCAGACAUUCCUUUAAUCGAUUCAUUAGUAGUAGAAUUAUGAUCACUACUAGUCUUGCUCACCCUGCUCUUCUUCAAUUCCGACGACUCCUCCCAGCUAAUAAACCCUACAUCGCUCCCAGUCACACUCCCAAUGUCAUCUCCACCGCCCAUUUCAUCGUUCGAAUUUGAAUCCCCUCCAACGCUCUGCUGAAGCUGCAGAGCAAACUCAAGCCCCCACACAACAUCAUUCAUUGACGGCCGUUCGAUCCCACUGUCAUGCAUGCAACUCACCGCAAUCUCAACAUACUUUUUCAAACAUGCAUUUCCAAUCUUACCCCUCAAGCUUGGAUCUAUGAUCUGAUCAAGUUUCCCAUUCCGAUGACAAAUUUUAGUCCACUCAGCCAAACUCAUUUGCUUUUUCUCUGCCGUACGAAUCAAAGCUGGCCUCGCACACAGUACUUCACACAACACUAUACCAAAUGAGUAUACGUCAGACUUCUCCGUCAAUUGCUGACGGCGAUAAUAUUCAGGGUCCAAAUAUCCGAAACUACCCUUCACCACCGUGCUGAUAUGGGUCUGAGACACGUUCGCGGACCCCAUUUUCGAAAGUCCAAAAUCCGAAACUUUGGCCACCCAUUUCUCAUCCAAUAAGAUAUUUGUGCUCUUUACGUCUCGAUGAAUGAUUGUGUACUUCGCACCUGUGUGAAGGUAGUGCAACCCACGCGCCGCCCCGAUACAAAUCUGUAGCCGUUGAUCCCACGGUAGAGGUGGAUUAUCGGUAUUGUAGAGAUGGUCGCGGAGAGUCCCACGCGCCAUGUAGUCGUACACCAAGAUCAUCUCACCGUCGUCCAUACAGUACCCAACGAGUGGCACCAGAUGGACGUGGCGGAGCUGGGAUAGCAUGUCGAUCUCCGUCUUGAACUCGUGAGCUCCCUGCGACGACUCCGAUUUCAGCCGCUUGAUUGCAACAGGGUGCAACCCACCAUCCAUGUUGACAUUUCCUUUGUAGACGUGUCCGAAACCGCCGACGCCAAUAAUGAAAACACUGUCGAAGUUUUGGGUGGCGGCUUUGAUCUCCGCCAGUGAAAAGUAGCGACACAAAUCGGACGGUAAAGAAGAGCGGUGAGUCUUGGUUGACUUGGUCGUCGCAGAAGAAAAUGGACCCCACUUUGUUCCUUGCCUGGAGCUUGAGUCCUUGACUUUUCUUCCUCUCCGGAAAACCAAAAAUCCAAACACAGAGGCCAAAACAAACACACCUGAAACUACACCGGCGAUGAUCCCAAGCAGAGGAAUAGAUUUCUUGUCUGAAACUUUGGGGCUCUCCGGCUGAGCUAUAUUUGGCGGGGGAGGCGGGUCGGGGUUUGGUCCGGCGAGAUUCCUAUUUGAAUCACUGAGCUUGAAGAUCUCGAGUCCGUUCAAGAUUGCAUCGUUGUAAUUCGUCAACCGAUCUUUUGGGGUGGCUUGCAGUGCAAGAAAGAGAUGAACUUUCUUUUUACUUCCGGCGCCUGCAGGCACGAAAACGACGUAGUCUUUGUACACCGGCUUCCCAUAACCUUGGCUCCACGUGAUUACAUCCGCAAACUGCUCCGCCUUCUGAUUGGCGAUGAAGAUUUGAAACAGCCGGUCCCUGGGCAAUGUAACAGCACCUUCGAACUCACAAAAAUGAAGCCGAAUAAAGUAAUAAAACGUAGAAUCUACCGGAAACCCCCAGGUGAGAUUAUAGUUCUUGUUUAUGGUUUUGUUCCUCCCCAUCGACCGAGCGGUUCGGUAAACUUCUUCCGGAGCAGAGUACUCCGGAAUUUUCGAAAAGUCGGGCUGAAUACUACUGUUUUGCGGCAGAACACUAAAGUUUUUACUCAAAUCGUCCAAAUAGUUGUACUCCACUUGAAUACCAUCCCAGUUUCUGUACAUUCCAGUGUCCCGAUUGAACGAGAGCUGAGAUCCGCCGACGUUGAUCCGGUAGACCAUCUCCAUGGCGGUGUUAUUUUUGAUCGGAUACGAGUUUAUGCUGCCUACGGAAACAGGCCCAUCUGCGCUUUGUGGUGGAGUGUAAUAAAGAUUGUCGGGCAUGGACACGAUUUCGAUUCCAUUGAUGAAGGCGUAGGCAUCUGGACUUGCUCUGCUCGGAGUGAACGUGAUGUUCAAGCUCUGUUCGGAUGCAAUGUUGAGACAGAACUCCCUGGAUACUGUCUCCGACGGGAAAGCGUCGGCGGUGACAGAGGCGUUGAAAUCGCGGAGAAGGGUAAAGCCGCCGGCUUCGACUGAGAAGAGGGAUUUAGAUCGGUCGAACUCGGCGGCGUAGGAAGUGGGGUAGAAGUACAAGCGGAUGAACUUUUGGCCGCUGGUGAGCGGAAAUGUGUACGUAAAUUCGGAGCGAGAGAGCCGAGCUGUGGUGUAAGGCACUUGGCUGGAGGAGUAGAUCGGGGUUGCUGCUUUGUAUACGGAUGAGCUGCCAGCUGCUUGGAAGGGGGAGAAUUUUGAGUUGAUAUCGCCACUCCAAGUUCGUCCGUCCUGUUGGUUGACUUGGUCGCCGGAAAAGCCGCACUGUAGGGUGAUGUCAUCGACCGGUUUGUAGGCAGAAGGUGAGUUUCCGGCGACGUGUAGGGUUAUGAUUUGCAGAAACAGGGUAAGGAACAGAUGAGCAAGAUUGGGAUUCAUGGUUAGGUGUUUGCUACAUAUGGAAACGGGGGAAUCUGUUGCUGAUUAUUAUCGUAAGCUUAUCAAAAUUCCAUUUAUAAUUAAACUUCUAACUGGAUUUUGGAUACUUUAAUGGUGAAGUGUUCAGUUGUAAUUUGAAAACUGGGUGCUUGAAAAUUCAGAGGUUUUUUUUUUUUUUUUUCCACCAAAUUUCUGAUGAAUAUUAAAGCAGUUUGUCUUGUCCUCUACUCUUAGUUGUUAUAUUAUUGUUGAAUGCACAAUUAUUGAAAAUCUAGGGUCAAAACAAAAGUAGUGGGGCAUGAGAGAAAAUUUAAUGGAGGAAUGACUUCUCCGGCACUUUAGAAAGGAUUAAGCUUUAGAAAAACUAAUAAAAAGUGUUUGAAAAUUUUGAGUUUUAACAAUAAGGAUAAAAUAAAAGGUAAAAUGAAUAGUACCAGGAUUGAUUUUUUAGUGUAAAAAUAGAAUUUUUCGUUAAAGUAAACAGUACCGUAAGUUUUUCGUUAAAGUUCUCUGAAUUUGUUAAUGGUUCUUUAUGCCACAAUUACCCUGAAUUUGUUUCAUUUAAAUCUCUCUCUCAUGGAUCAAAGACUUUGAAUGUGGUCUAAAUUCUUAAAGAUUCUCAAUCAUCAACAGUAACGUUAAUAGACUACACACAAAGGGUAGUGGUGGUGGACUUGAAGAGUCAAAGUCUUUGUCACAAGUCUUUAUGCAUGGUGGGUCGUUUGCUUGUAUACUUUUCCAAACAAAUAGAUUAACUUGUUAUAUAUUCUUACGGUUAAUGCUUGGUAGAAAAGUCUCACCACUAGCAAGUUGCAAACAACCCGUGAAAUGGUAUCCAGCUAUGAGUUAGUAAACGUCAUUUUAACAAGCAUGUCUCUUUUCAAAUGUGACUUUUGUGGUAAGGUGAUGAUAUUAUCCCCACAGAUUUUUGUUAGCAUUGAUGCAUUUGGGGAUUACAUGUAUCAUUGAUUUUAAGUGCACAUAAACGACUAACAUAUAAGAGGUUUAUGUUGACUUGUCGCUGGAAAAGCCACACUAAAGGGUGAUGUCAUCGACCGGAGUGUACACGGAGGCUGAGUCUGCGGCCACAUGUAGGGUUAUGAUUAAACCUCUACUAUGAGUUGUUAUGUUAGGAAAAUGAUCAUCGCCGGAUCUUUUUUCUAUGGAUCAUGGGGAUUCCGUUAUCGUGAUCGUUCAUUGUAUAUCGUGUAAUUAGAAAUCAUUUCAAAAUUAAAAAUUAAAAAUUAAAUAUAAAUAGUACCUAACGAAAAUUGAUCGCAUGAUGUACGAUGAACGAUCACAAUCACAUGAUUCCCACCGGAUCCUUUUCCGUUAUGUUAUUGUUUGCAUGCACAAAUAUUGAAAAUCUAGGGCAAAACAAAAGUAGUGGGACAUGAUUUCAUGGAGGAGUUCAUCGUUGAUUCAUCAGGAUGGAGAUAAUUUUUAGUGUGUUUGGGAAUAUAUGACUGGUAUAUCUAGUGUUAUAACAUAAUUGGUUAAAUUUUUUUUUUCAAGAGUCUAAUUAAUUGUAUUAUGACACUUGGUAUACUGGGUUAUGUUCUUGAUACUAAAAAAUAUAUUGGCACAAUGACUUCUCAAACCACUAACUAAUAUAUGAUCAUGAGUGGAAUUUUUUCUGAUAUCACCUUGUAUUAGUGGUUCAAUACACCACAAUUAUAUUGAAUUCGUUUCAUUUAAGUCUUUUUCGAACUAGAUGAAUCAAAGGCUUUAAAAGGAAGGUCAUCAUCCAGAAAGAUGACCAAACAAUACCCGCCAGAGAUUUAAAUGUCAAAUAAUUGGUUGCAUGUCUCUAUCAUCGAGAGUAAAGUUAAUCCAUAUUAUCUAUCUAUAUUAUUAAGAGAAGAGGGCUUGUCAACUUUUUUCCCCCAUUUCUUCCAAUUUUGCUCUCAUUUUUUAACACACAAUAUUGACAUGAGGAGGGCAAAAUAGUAAUUUUGUAUCUUUUGAACUCUUUCCCCUUUUCUUCCAAUUUUGCCCUCAUUUUUUAAUACACAAUGUUGAUAUGAUGAGGGCAAAAUAGUAAUUUUGUAUCUUUUGAACUUUUUCCCCUUUUUUCCUAUUUUGCCCUCACUUUUGAUACACAAUAUCUACAUAAGGAGGGCAAAAUAGUAUUUUUAUAUUGAAAUAUUUACAUAAGAUAAAAAAUAUGCAUUUAUUAAGAGAAAUUAUCCCUCCAUCAUUUUUUCAUACAUGUAAGUGAAAUCAUAAUGUUUUUUUGAUAGUUUGAAUGAACUGAAGCGGUUGCGCUUGAGGAGAACGUGGGAGGUGGUGGACGGUUUUUCCCCUUUUUUCCUAUUUUGCCCUCACUUUUCAUACACACUAUUGACAAAUAGGAGGGCAAAUAGGAAAACAAAAGGGGGAAAAAAGUUGACAAUAAGGCUUCUCUUAAUAAUAGUAUAGGAAACAAAUAUGCAUUUAGUAAGAGAAAUUGUUCACACACACACUUGUGCUCUCUGCUAGUAGACUUAAUACAAAGGGUAGUCGACGAAAUAUCCAAAAUCUUUGCCACAAGUCUUUAUGCAUAGUGAUUUGCUUGUAUACUUUUCCAAACAACAAGUAGAGAUUGUGUUGUUAACUUGUUAUAUAGUCUUAAGGAAAAUGCUAGGUAGAAACGUCUCACCACUAACAAGUAACAACCAACCCGUCAAAUGGUAUCGAGGUAUGACUUGGUAUACGUCAUUUUAACAAGCAUGUGUCUUUACAAUGUGAUUUUUGAGGUAAGAUGAUGAUAAUACACACACAGAUUUUCGUUAGCAUUGAUGCAUUUUGUGAUUUACAUGUACUAUUGAUUUUAAGUGCAUAUAGACGACUGAUUCUAAGUGUACAUAGAUGACUGACAUACCCUAUUCUUAUAAGGUACUUGAACAAAUUAAUACCUAAUAUACUCGACCAUCCUUAUAUAAUAUAGUUUGGCUACAAUAAUAUUAGGGGAUAUCCUCAAUCUGUUGAGGUUUUGCGAUUUAGAUGUGUUAUUGAUUUUAAGUGCCUACAGACAACUGAUUCUAAAGUGCACAUAGACAACUGACAUACCCUCUUCUUAUAAGGUACUUGAACAAAUUAAUACUUAAUAUACUCGACCAUCCUUAUAUAAUAUAGUUUGGCUACAAUAAUAUUAGGGGAUAUCCUCAAUCAGUUGAGGUUUUGAGCUUCUGCCUAGCUAAGUUUAUGUUAACAUGGUGUAUAGUGUAUAUAACCAAAAAAGCACAUUGUCUUCAUAGAAUUUAUGUUCAUCUAUUUUGAAAUGGAAGUAAAAUAAAGCCAACAAGUUACAAGAAAACCCUUAUUUGACUAAAAUUUAUGAUUAAACUUCUACUAGUCAAGAUCUAUAAAAAUUAGUGAUAAUUAUGUGAUUAAUGAAUGGGAGACACAAUAUAUUGGGUGAUGCUAUCCAUACGCAUUCCAUUUUACUUUUCCUUAGCCGUUAGGUUGAACGAAUUGAAAGAAUCAAAAGACCAAAAUUAACAGAGGUAUAGGCACCACCCUAUAUAUUAUACAACAAUAUGAACCAUUAUUUUUUAAUGUGAAACAUUUUAAACCAUGAAUCUACUCUCAAAACACAUUAGUAUAAAUAAUUAAACGACAGAAGUGGAAAAUAUUUUUUGUAAUCUGUUGGGAGCUUGAGGUUUCCAAAUUCAAAUUCAAGAGGUUGGGUUAGGCUCGCCGGAUGACUUCAAGAUUAGCUUUCAACGUCGUGAUCAUGGAGACGGUAUCUCAUUCGAUGGGGCAAGUGGACUUUUGGACCAUGCUUUUGCUCCCACGGAUGGAAGGCUGCACUUGGAUGCAGAUGAACGAACUCGAUCUGGUUUGAGGCCUCCAAGUAAGAACAAACUUGAUCCGGUUUGGGUGGCUACGCACGAAAGGACUGGGUUCACCUCCGGAUCCCAGCCUGCAAAGCCAGCUGACCUCAAGAUCUCAUCCUUCCAUUUUUGAUCUUGUGGCCAGGAAUAAUGAAAAAUUUUCACGCAAAACAAGGCAAGAUGAAAAUGGAAGGAUGCGAUCUUGUGGUCAAUUGGCUCCGCAGGAUGGGAUCCGUAGGUGAUCCCAGUCCGUCGUGAUAGAAAUGGCCCUUCAUGACUUUAGUUGUGAAAAUAAACAUCAAUAAAAUAAAAUUGUUUAAGUGUCUGAUAAAUUUGUUUUAUAAAAGUACUUUUAACUAAAAAAACAAUGUUUGAUAAACUUUUGUAUAAAAUUGCUAUGAGCAUAUUAAAUGACUAAAACUGAUCACCAUGCUUUGAAAAAAAAAAGAAAAAAAAAAGGUCUUUUUCAGAUGGUAGACUCUGCUUCCACGUUUCUAUGCUUUUCAUAUUUGAUGUUCUAAAUUUUUUAAUAAGCUUUUUUUUUUUUUUUUUAAAGCAUCACAACUCCAAACCAACCUGUAAUCACUUCAGGCAUUGGGAAUCGAAGGAUGUGCACCAUCAGUUCGGAAAUUUUCCUUGAGCAUCUCCGCAGGUAUGUUGUCUCCGAUUUCUUUGAAUAAAAAUUCAGGCAACGGGGAGUUGAAGCACACCUUCGAAGCUGUCAAACUCGUUAGGAGUUUUAUCGAACAAGGCUUCGAGCUCCGGUCUAAUGAAUUGGGCUAUAAUUUCAGUGCAUGUGCCAGGACGUCUGACAUCUUCCGGUGUCCAAAUCGUAGCUUACGACAUUGCUGCAUAGAUAACCCUCCUCAUAUUGGUUGUUGAAUUAGAGUUUUAUCUCAACCAAUUAAUGUAUUAAUGAAGCAUUGUAAUCGUAGGUAAUUUCCAUUUACUAACCUAGGUAUAAAGCAAAGAGAAAUACUUAGUUACUGAUAAAUCUUUUUUUUUUUUUUUUUGACAAAUGGGAGAAUAAUCUGCACUGAAUUUUUCUAACUAUGGGGAUGGGAGAAAAUUUAAACUAGAAAAAUAGUGGGUUGAAGAGAAACGCUCUAUCUACCAAGCAAUCUGUCACUUGCUUGACCAAUCAAUUAGUUAUCUUGUUAUUGAUCACAAUCUGUUUUUUUCAAUAAUAUUACAAAAAAUGCCAUGGGAAUCGUAGGUCAUGUUUCUAAGUUGUGUCAUUUCUCAUUUCCUAAAUUAUAACAUAUUGUUGAUCAACAUAAGUGUUUUGUAAUUAAUAUUGUAAUCAAUAACUUGAACUUCGCUUUAUAUUGUAUGGAAUCCGCAGAUCGUAAAACCAUGUAUGGGGGCUAAUGCAUAUCCUGUGUUGGAAGGUCAAGGAAGCUAAUGGCCUAAUGCCAUGGGAGCCGGCAAUUAAAACUUCAGUGAGAAGCGAUCAUAACUAUAACGGUCCUAAGUCAGAAAAUUUCUUGUCGAAUAAGUUUCAAGUUCCAACAAAAUACGAAAGACAUAACGAUCUGGACAAUCUCAAGUAGUUCCAACCCAAAACCCAAUUGUCAAAUGAACCUCACACCUUCGUCAAGCUCUGUAGGCUAGUUGGUAUCCACAUUCCCAAAGGGCCAAAUGGACCAUAUCAAAUCAACCCAAUCAAAAGCCCAAUCAGAUUGCAAACAACCCACAUCCAAAUCAAACACGGGUCAGAAAUGACCCAAAUUUCAAAUCGGGUUAGUCUUCUCUGUCUGUCUUCCCCUAAAACCCUAAACUUUCUUUUACUCUGUUGUCACAGAAAACGCAAAAGUUUUCAAUCUUUGAAAAUCGUGAGGAACCAUGAUGAACGGCGGUCGGCACCAAAACAAAUUCGCAUGGAAGCCAAACCUCGGCGUCAAAAUCAACGAAACCGAGGUCGGAGGUCGGUUCCGGCCGCUGUCGGAGAUAACGGGGGUCUGCCAGCGCUGCAAGGAACAGAUCGAGUGGAAGCGCCGUUACGGAAAGUACAAGACCCUGACGGAGCCCGCCAAGUGCCAACGUUGUACCAAACGCGCCGUCCGUCAGUCCCACCAUAAGCUCUGUGCUGCUUGUGCCAAGGAACAACGUGUUUGUGCGAAGUGUUGCUGUCGUGUCGAGCAAAUUGUCGGAAAAGACCUUGCGGAAGUGGAGUCUGAGCAGAAGCAGCUUCAAGAGGUUUGAUUUUUUUUAAUGUUGUUUUUGUUAAGUUUCCAGUUUUUAACUGGUUUUCGAUUCGAAAAUUGACGAAAAUUGAUGGUUUUCGAUUCAAAAAUGCAAGAGAAAGAGAUAGGAGGAGUCUAUUGCGUGUGGCAUGUUCUCGAAUUUGAACACAUUUGUUUGUUCUUGUAUUGGAUUGUGAAUCAAAAGUUGCAUAAUUUGUGAUCUCGGAUAGUACUGUAACCGACGAAUGCUGGAAAAAAAAAAUAUCCGGGUGUAGCGAAAGCUGCAAGCGAGAAAGGAGACAAAGCGGGGGACCUGUUCCCGUCUGCGUCACUCGAAGAAUAUGCAGAGGCAAGCAGAGAUGAUGACGAUGAUGAUGACGAUGACGACGGUGACGAUGGCGAUGAUGGUGAAGGCGAAGAAGAUGAGGCACAUGUUUGCAAUUAAAAGAGGUUCUAAGUAGUAUUUCAGUUGCCUAUGAUCGUGUACUGUGCCCAUCCUUUGCUCGCAAGUUCGAAAUCGCUUGCAUCUCUCUGUACUGUCAGUGACAAAUUGGGCAAAGAUAUCCUCGUUUCUUCAACACCAUGAAGAAGGUCUUGAAGAAGUUAACUGAUCAUCGUCUUUUUGUCUUGAAGAAGUAAACGGAUCAACGGGUUUUUUUUUUUUUUUGAGAAAAUUUGAAAUAGGUACAAGUUUAUAGCCCUACUUUUGAAAUAAGUCCAAAUUUAAUAACUUUUGACUUUUGAAAUAGGUUCAAUUUUUAGUUACUUGACAUUUUUUUUUCUUUUCAUGUUUGUUUGUUUUAGUGGUCGGACCCAUAAUUUUGUGCAAGUGCUUAUGCACAGAAACCUUGAACUUUUGUUCGUUUUUAAUUAUCAAUGUAGGUCUUGUUUAAUAUUACCACAGAUCAAGUUGCAUUGCUUUUGGGGUUCUUGGGUUAGAAGCAAACUGCUAAUAAAGUAUGCUGGGCACCUGGGGAAGAUCGAAAACUCAAUAGAAAAAUAAGAGAGAUCCAACUUCACUCUUCAAGUCAACAGCUUCGAGAUUGAUUGAAUCUUCAAAUGGUUGUUAUUUCUACGAGUUGGAAGGAAGAAGAAAGCCGAUCUUACGAAAUGCAAAAGGAGAGCAGUUUUAAGCUAGUCAGAUGCCGUCUUGUGACGAUGCUGUGUACCAUUCUCCUUGUCAGCCCCGUUACAGUUUUCAUUUUCGGCUUCCAUAUCUCAUAUCCGCAAUCCUUUUUGUCCUUCAACACCAGUAUCUCCCAUGACCAAAUUGUUUUGCCUCACUCCCUGCCCGCGGAUGUCUCUCAUUUGCAGAUCCAGCUGGGACUUUUGUCGCAGCAGCUGCAUAAUGAAAGUUCCGAAUCAAAAGUACUUGCGAAAUUUUCGGAUCAGGUGCUUCGCAUCGCCAUUUCUUUGGACAAACUUGCUGAUUGCAUUAAAAAGAAGCAUCAUCCGGACAAAGAUGAAGUAAGCACCGUGGAUGAAGAUUUCACAAAUCCAGAGGAAGGUGAAGCUGAAGCUGAAGAACAGGUUCCAGGUGGCACAAUCUUCACUUCAGGUGAGAUUCGUAUUUACAUUUCACCAAAACAAAACAGGCAGAUUGGGAAGAAAAAUUUUCUUGUGGUAGAAGCAAUAACUCCAUCAGUUGGGUUGGCUUGUGCCCGAACGGCGCCGGUUUAUGAGUUACAAACGGCAUGUGCCCAGAUGAUUCGGAAAUAGCUCAGAAGCUUUUAUUUCAUGGAAGUGAUCCAUUGCCAAGAAGAAGAUGCUUCACAAAAUCACCGCCAUACUACACCAAGCCACUUCCUAUAAACUUCUCCCUUUGGACUCAACCUAGCAAUGCUAACAUCUUAUGGAACAAUUACAAGUGCAAAGACUACUCUUGCCUUGUUUCGAAAGAAACCAAGGACAGAAGAGGCUUCUUCAAAUGCUCAGACUGUUUUAACUUUUCAAAACAAACGUGGGACACUCCAACAAACGAGUCCGAAUCGGCAUAGUUCACCAUUGAUGAAGUUCUAAGCUUAAAGCCAGGGGAGAUAAGAAUCGGCCUAGACUUCAGGUCGACCACGGGAAUAUUUGCUGGUAUCAUGAGGGAAAAGAACGUUACCAUUGCAUCAAGUACCUUAAACUUAGGGUCUCCUUUCAAUGAGAUCAUUGUCUUAAGAGGUCUUCUUCCUCUUUACACAUCAAUCGGUUCGAGCCUACCUUUCUUCGACAACACCCUUGACAUUAUCCAUUCGACUUUGUUCUUGGAUGGCUGGAUUGGAGCUGAACUCCUUCAGUUUGUAUUGUUUGAUUGGGACUGCGUCCUCCGGCCGAAGGGUCUUCUUGGGAUAGACAGGUUCUUCUGUCACAAGGAAGACAUGAAGUUGUAUUUGGAUGAGUUUAAGAGGUUAGGCUACAAGCCAUUGCUAUGGAGUGUAGUGCCCAAGACUGAGCUCUUCUUCUCAGCUGUUCUGGGGAAGCCAAUCAGAGGUUAAUAAUCGUCGUUAACAAGUAAAUUUCUCAAUAUCUUAGCGUUUUAAUGAAUUCCGUGAUAUUUUAAUGAGUAAUACUUGUCAUUAACAACAGGGAUUAAGCAUUUCUAUCGUACUUAGUAAGGUUUGCAAUUACAUUGAUAUUUUAAAGAGAAAAAUAUAUAGCAACAUGAAAUUAUUAUAUAACUUGUAUUAAUAACGCAUUUUAGAGUACUUGGAGCUAACGGAAGACUAGACAUAAAAUAGAGCGUAGUGGCGUUCUAAAAUUCAUACAACCGAAUAUAAAAUUUCUGUAUAUAGAUCUCGACCAAUGCUUUUUGCUUGAGAAGUUGAACGGCAGGCAUUUAAAAUUUCUGUAUAUAGAUUUCGAGAUAGGUCACCAAAAGUAUAUCCACUCCAAUUUCGUUUAUCAUACUGAUCGAAUAUCCUGCCAGACUAGCUACAUUUUAUGCUGAUAGAAUAGCCACAAUUUCGAGUCUCCUGAAGAAAGUUGAUGUUACACUAUAGAACCAAUUGGUAAUAUGAAGAAUACCGCAAUUUAUUUGUAAGUCCAUGCAUGGUGGACGUACGAUAGGGGUGACGAUGGUGUGCAAACACAAACAAGUAAUCGUGAAAAAGAAGAGUCAGCCAGAGUUUGUUCAAAGUCUUUGCGUAGAAAAGACUAGCGCUGAAGCAUCACUUCAGCAAUUUCCAUUCUUUUUCCUCUAUCACACAUUGGAUGAAUGUAUCUUUCUGUCGUUGGAAGUGUAUACUUUUACUUAAAGACUUGUGUUCUUGACGAUGAUAUAACAGACCCGACUUAAAAAUAUAAUAAGUUUUUACUAAAAUCGCGUUUCUUGGAAAGAGACUCGGGAGAGUGCUCCAUUUGGAGAAAUGGACACUUAGCAGGUGCUUUUUUAGAAAACGCUUAUAUGGCCUAAAAGCACUUUUAAGUCAGAGAUAAACCACUCCCCCCGCCUCCUGAUCCGACUAUUGUUUAAUCCGUACAUUUCAUCGAACCAUGAAAAUGUUCUAAUCUGGAAAUGGAAGCAAGUAAUCAACACCAAAUAUAAUUAAAAGUACAAUGCCAUACCUUCUUGCGCUAGCGGAGAUUUCCUCCGCUGUCACUCUUUCCCGCAGCCGCCUCUGAUCCAGACGGCAAUUCGAUUGCAAUUUUAUAUUUAUUUCUAAGGGCUCGGCACUUUUGGUAUAACCCGCCACUUUUAAGUCUGGCGUGAUAUAGAAGUUUUUUUCUUAGAAUUAAAAAAAAAAUGAUCAUUAUUAAGGGAAGAUGAAGGAUUCGAAACUAUUACAACAAUUAAGGGGAGGGAGAGUUCCAAAUUCGGGACGCAUGAGUAGAGACGCAACGCUCUAUCCAGUAAGAUAUUGAACCACAUGCAAUACAGAGGCUUGAACAGUCGCACAACCAUAAGUACAGUUUGUUAAUAGAAAGUGUUACUAGCUGUCCUAGAAGCAGAACAACGCAAUGCGAGGUACUUCAAGUAAUUCAUCAUUCAUUUGGGUACAAACACAAUUGAUAAGAAAUAGUUAUUGGCUUGCUUGUGACAACCCGUCCCGGGAUUUACGGAACGAAAAUGGCAUUUUAGUAAUUUCACAAAUUUCGGGAUGUUUGUUUUGAAAUGGGUUUACUUUUAAACCUUAAUUGGUGUGCCAAGGGGCCCACCUUCUGUUUUGUCUCCCCUGGGUCCCCUCUUCAUUUUCUGCCACGUGGCAACUCCCACACCCCCAUCACCUCACUCUCCCACCUGAGGCACUCUCUCAGCUCUCUCACUCUCUAAUCCCUUUCACUCUCACAGACCCCUCUCUCACUCUUCUCCCCUUCCCCGUCGACCCACACACUCACACGGAGGCAUCACCACCCUCACCCUCGUGAGAACUUCCCAUCCCUCUCCACUGUCUUCGUGAACCUCAGGGGCACCCAGAGGACACCCAACCCAGGUCCAGCAAACCAUGGGUGUGCUGCUCAAAUCCGGCCACCUCCAACCUUUUCUCGACGAAACAAAGGUAACAAACCCUUCCUCCUCGUUUCACUCUUCGUUUUGGUGCCUAGAUCGGACCCUAUAGUGGUAUUUUGCUAUCGGCCAGAGCUGGGGAAGCUCCUGCGUCCUUUUCCCGUCGAAACCAGUUCGUUAGGCCAGCUCGUCCAAACCCUGUCGAACCAAUGCCUUUUGGGCCGUGUAUAGGACUCGGGGCUUAGGCCCAUUAGCCGUUAUACCCAAAAGCCCAAACGGUUUAGUUUUUAAUUUUAAUUAUUUAUUUUUCUUUCAAAAACCCAAAAGAACUGGGCCGAGCCUUUAAGCCCAAGCCCGUAUAAACCCUUGGCCAGAGGCCAAAGGGCUUCAGCCCGUUGAGCUUUAAAAACCCCAAACCCUUUUAAAGCAAGCCUUCAGGCCAUGAGAGAACUCGAGUUCGGCCCAUUGACCCAAAACCCAAAACCCUUUUGGGCCUUUGCAGUCAAGCUCAAAACCCUUAGGCCCGUGGACCCAAGCCCAAGCCUUAGGUCCAAACCGAACCAAGCCCAGACCCAGUUUGACCGACCCAGACCUGUUGACUUUGACCUAGUCUGACUGUUGAUCGGCGUUGACUUUGACUUUGACCGAUCAAAGGUUGACGUUGACUUUUUGUUGACUUUUUCGGGCUUCGGUCGAGACCUCUCCUAGGCUAAUUUCGACAUUCUAAAUCUGUUUUUGGUGUCCGUUUUCCCAAAUUCAAUUGUUUGAAUAGAGUUUUAUUAAUUUGACCUUUUAUUUGCUUUGGUGCAUUUAUUGUGGUGUUUCCAUCUUCGCUAAUUUGCAUGGCUCUUCGACGGCGAAGUAUCUGUGAGUGGACCCCUUCUAAAAUGCAUGUUUUAAUAGUAGAAAUGCAUACAUGAAAAGCAUGAUUUAAUGAUAACGUUUUAUGAAACAUUUUAUGAAAUAUUAUGCUUAUUGAGAAUCUUUUGAAUUACCAUAUUUUAUCGAACUCAUGUUCUUUGUAGUAUAAAUGAUGGAUGACUUUAUACUACUUAUGAACAUGUUUUUGCACACUUCUUUAUAGUAUAGAUGAUUGAUGACUUUAUACUAUGAAGAUGUUUUUGAGAUAUAUAUACCUAUAUUUGGAAAGACUAUGUUCAAUGGUUUUGUGCUUAUCUAGCAGUCACUAUACUGUCACGAGCGAGGAUUAUGGUUGUUAGUUGCGAGCCGGGAGAAAUAAUCUCUGGCUACGGGCGCAAAGGCAUGGAGCUGGCAUUAGGGCGGGAGAUAUUGUUAUUGGAUACCACUAUUUAGCACCCUAUAUACGAGAAAUGUUUCAUGAGAAGUUUUAUGGCAUGCUAGGGUUUCAGAAAACCUACUAUUUAUUAUGCUAUUAGUUUUCAUAAAACUUUGGGGGUUAAUAUGUUAAAUAACUGUUUUAAUAUAUAUAUAUAUAUCAACUCGGUCCACUCAUGUUUGUUUUGUGCACCUUCAGGACUUAGAAUUGAGGCAUACAAUCUCGGCCUCAAGGCACUUCCACAUCGGCAUCGUCGAGUCCUCUCGGUGUAUGACCCAUUCAUUUGCUCAUUCAAUUUUGUAUUAUUUCUUUUUAGCGUUUUAAAUUAGUUGUAUGCUCUGAACACGUUCCUCAUUUGCAUAUUAAUUACAAUUAAAUUUAUAAGUCUUAUUUUUUUCUUGUUCUCAUGCAUUCUAAUAUGGCUUCGUCACCUUCAGGUGUCGGCCAGCACGUGCUUACCCUAGUGUUUGGGAGAGUAUUAGGGUUAGGCGUGUCAUUGCUAACACAUCAUAUAAUUUUAGCCAGAUUACUCUAAUGUUGUUAUAUCAUCUCCCAAUCGGAUCGUUGAUUUCUGAGAAGAUCGUCCCGGAUAUGCACUGAAUGGAUUCAUUCGUAGCGCAACCUGGCACACUAGCGAAGGCAUCCUCGUUGUUCCUUUCACCAUACUUCUGAUGUAGUUGCAAUGCAAACUCAAGCCCCUUCACAACAUCGUUCAUUGUCGGUCGUUCGAUCCCACUAUCAUUGAUGCAACUCAUAGCAAUUUCCACAAACUUGUUCAAACACUCGGUUUCAAUCUUACCCUUCAUGUUUGGAUCAAUGAUUUGAUCAAGUUCCCCGUCGCGAUGGCAACUCUUGGCCCAUUUAGCCAAGUUCAUUUGCCUUGUCUCCACUGCAUGCACCACAGCUGGUCUCGAGCACAGUACUUCACACAACACUACACCGAAUGAGUACACAUCAGAUUUCACAGUCAGUUGUUGACGUCGAUAGUAUUCCGGGUCUAGAUAACCGAAACUGCCUUUCACGGCCGUGCUAAUAUGGGUCUUAGACAUGGUGAUUGUGCCCAUUUUUGACAAUCCAAAAUCUGAAACCUUGGCCAUCCAAUUCUCAUCCAAUAAAAUGUUUGUGCUCUUCACGUCACGGUGGAUGAUAGUGCCCUUGGCUUCGUUGUGAAGGUAGCGCAACCCUCGCGCGGCGCCAAUGCAAAUUUGGAGCCGUUGUCCCCAAGAGAGAGGUGGGUUGUCGGUGUGGUAGAGAUGGUCGGCGAGUGUCCCAUGUGACAUGUAAUCGUACACCAAAAUCAUCUCAUUUCUAUCAGUACAAUACCCAAUGAGAGACACCAAAUAGCGGUGUCUAAGUUGUGCGAGCAGUUUGAUUUCCGUCUUGAACUCGCAGGCUCCCUGCUUUGACUCGGGUUUCAGCCGUUUGAUGGCAACGAGAGUGGCCCCGCCAUCGAUAUGCCCUUUGUACACGUGACCAAAGCCGCCAACACCAACAAUGAAACCUUGGCUAAAGUUUUGGGUGGCGGCUUUGAUCUCCGCCAGUGAAAAGUAGCGACACAAAUCGGACGGUAAAGAAGAGCCGCGAGUCUUGGUUGACUUGGUCGUCGAAAAAGAAAAUGGACCCCAUUUUGUUCUUUGCUCGGAGCUUGAGUCCUUGACUUUUCUUCCUCUCCAGAAAACCAAAAAUCCGAACACAAAGGCUAAAACAAACACACCUGAAACUACACCGGCGAUGAUGGCAAACAGAGGAAUAGAUUUCUUGUCUGAAACUUUGGGGCUCUCCGGCUGAGCUAUAUUUGGCGGGGGAGGCGGGUCGGGGUUUGGUCCGGCGAGAUUCCUAUUUGAAUCACUGAGCUUGAAGAUCUCGAGUCCAUUCAAGAUUGCAUCGUUGUAAUUCGUCGACGGAUUUUUUGGGGUGGUUUGCAGUGCAAGAAAGAGAUGAACUUUCUUUUUACUUCCGGCGCCUGCAGGCACGAAAACGACGUAGUCUUUGUACACCGGCUUCCCAUAACCUUGGCUCCACCAGAUUACAUCCGCCAUCUUCUCCGCCGUCUGAUUGGCGAUGAAGAUUUGAAACAGCCGGUCCCUGGGCAAUGUAACAGCACCUUCGAACUCACAAAAAUGAAGUCGAAUAAAGUAAUAAAACGUAGAAUCUACCGGAAACCCCCAGGUGAGAUUAUAGCUCUUGUUUAUGGUUUUGUUCCUCCCCAUCGACCGAGCGGUUCGGUAAACUUCUUCCGGAGCAGAGUACUUCGGAAUUUUCGAAAAGUCGAGCUGAAUACUACUGUUUUGCGGUAGACGACUAAAAUUUUUACUCAAAUCGUCCAAAUAGUUGUACUCCUCUUGAAUACCAUCCCAGUUUCUGUACAUUCCAGUGUCCUGAUUGAACGAAAGCUGAGAUCCGCCGACGUUGAUCCGGUAGACCAUCUCCAUGGCGGUGUUAUUUUCGAUCCAAUACGGGUUUAUGCUGCCUACGUAAACAGCCCCAUCUGCACUUUGCGGCGGAUUGUAAUAAAGAUUGUCGGGCAUGGACACGAUUUCGAUUCCAUUGAUGAAGGCAUAGGCAUCUGGACUUGCUCUGCUCGGAGUGAACGUGAUGUUCAAGCUCUGUUCGGAUGCUAUGUUGAGACAGAACUCCCUGGAUACUGUCUCCGACCAGGAAGCGUCGGCGGUGACGGAGGCGUUGAAGUCGCGGAGUAGGGUAAAGCCGCGGGCUUCGACUGAGAAGAGGGAUUUUAAUCGGUCGAACUCGGCGGCGUAGGAAGUGGGGUAGAAGUACAAGCGGAUGAACUUUUGGCCGCUGGUGAGUGGAAAUGUGUACGUAAAUUUGGAGCGAGAGAGCCGAGCUGUGGUGUAAGGCACUUGGCUGGAGGAGGAGAUCGGGGUUGCUGCUUUGAAUACGAAUGAGCUGCCAGCUGCUUGGAAGGGGGAUAAUUUUGAGUUGAUAUCGCCACUCCAAGUUCG
This 72154-nucleotide long non-coding RNA is filed under the name Malus domestica (apple). Its description in RNAcentral is "long non-coding RNA (MDOM_LNC017215)". Lineage: Eukaryota; Viridiplantae; Streptophyta; Magnoliopsida; Rosales; Rosaceae. The record is from RNAcentral.